UCAGGAGUAUACCAGCAUACUGAGCAGCUAUGUCUUUUUCUGUUAUAUGCUGAAAAUUGGGUUAGCAGCCAUCUUUGGGUUCAACAAUAUUCAAGAGUCUUAUUGCGGGCAGCCAAACGCAGUCUUUAUUCGAAUAACUGGUGGUCAUUGCAUUGCGCUGCCAUUUCAUUCCUUUUUAUUUAAUCUGGCAUCAUAGUUUUUGUAGUUUUGUGGUUUGUUCUCUGUUUAAGUGAGAGCUAAUUUGAGAGCAAGUGAAUUGUAGGAUUGAAGGGAUUAAAAUCAUCUUCCUAUUCAAAAUUAAAUAGAAAGAGGAUUUUAGCCCCUCGUUUCCUUCCAAUUUUCUUGCUCCUAAACUUGUCUUAAGGGCUUGUUUGGGAGUAAGGAUAAUGGAAAGGGCUUGUUUGGGAGUAAGGAUAAUGGAGGAGAUUGAGGGGAUAUAAUACCUCACUAUUCAUUUUUAAAUAUUGAGGGAUUUUAGCCACCUCUAUUCCACUUGCUUCCAAACAUGUCCUAAAAGAUUAUGUAUUACUCUCCCGGACGAGUUUUUUAUGCAUAAUUUUGUAUUGUUUACACCACAGUUAGAAUCUUCAGAGUAAUUGCUAUUCUUAUUGAUGUGCAUAGCGCCACAAGGCUUCUGUUUGCUGCCAGAAUAUGUGUGAUCGAGUAGGGCAGUAGGCAAACAUGUCCAUACAAAAUGUGUUAUUAUAGGACAUGCUGAUUUCCAAAGACAUGUUACGACUUCGUUUGGCUUUAAUACAUACUGGCUUCUACUGCUUCUAUAAUAUAGUCCGAAUAACUAGCUUUAAUCCGAAGCGGACAAUUAAUUUAUGUUAUGGCUUGACAUUCGUGGUGCAUGGAAUAACGGAGUAAGAACUUUGAGGAGACACAAGAUGGUCUCAAAAACUGUAACUCAAGAUCUUUUUAUCUCUUAGACGUAUUUCCUUUUCAACCAAGAUAAUUUAUUUGCAGACCCCUUUCAACCUUGUUUGGAUAUUCUUGUAUUCACCCUAAUCUAUAUGUAUUGAAGUAGAUUAGGGUGAAUACGAGAGCAUAUGCCUUUGAUGUGACAUUUGAAAUGCCACUCAUUUACCCGUUUCUUUUGCUGUAAACAAUUGCAUAUAUUUGGGUCAGAGACCUUGACCUGGCAAUUAUCAAUUAUUUUAGUUUCUUUUUUUUACGUAUCAAUUAUUCUAAGCUACUGUCAGGUACUACUUUGGUGCAGUUAAAUCUACGGAGGCAAAGAGAAAAGAGGUUCACUUGAGGAAUAGUCUAUAGGAAUAUAUGAAGGCCCUUCUCUGCCUUUGCAAUUAACCUUACUUAUCUUGUGUACAUUUGUAAUUAUGAGAUAUAAGCAGCAGAUUACUUCAUUUCGGGCGUUGAAUGCUUUUUGAAUGGCUGAGAAUUGGUGACUGCUAAAGUUGUAGUAGCUGUAUCGAUUGAGCUGAUAGCUCUUCUGGUCAGCUCCUUUCCGUGAUUCCGUCCCCAAAACAAGUAACCCUCUGAUAAUUUAAGCAUUUUUAAUUUUAACGAAAUAUAUAAAAAUAUUAAUAUUUAUAGUACACAACUAGUAUUAUUAAAUAGAUUGUCAAAAUCUAUUUUUAUAACAAAAUUUAGUUUGAGAUAUAACUGUAGCUAUUUUCUAAAAAAAUUGUUAAAAUUUUAACAAAAAAAUGAUAGGCACAAAUAUUAUAGCAACACUUAUUUUGAGAUGGAAGGAGUAUUUGAUAGAGCUGCUUCCAGAAUCUUUGAAUGAAGUGAUUUUGUAAGGUCAUGUGGCUUAAAAGUGUUUUUUCUGAGUCUCUGCCAUUGUCGUUUCUCUUGUUCCGCGAGUGGUGUUACUAUACGGCGUUGUGACAUUUUAUCUCCACGUUUGUGGAUGUUGUCGAUAUGUUGCUAUUGUUAUUGCGGUAAUGAUUGACAAUGAAUAUGAGUGGCAUGGUUGAACGUGUCAUGAUUGUUGGCAUAUGAGGACGUAUAGUUGUUUCUAUUAUAUCAUUGUACUCUUUUUUUAUUGUGUUAUACAACUAGUGGUAAUGAUCAAUUAUUCUUUACUCGUGUGUUAUCUUGGUUGAACCUAUUAGAUAUGCUAGUGCGUAGCGUAUCCAUUUUCCUACAGUGGUACUCAUGCAUAGUUUUUAUCUCGAUAUUUGCACAUAGGUGAUUUGCCUUAUGAAUUGGAUCUAUUUUUGCUUAUGUUGAAGCACAUAUUAGGACGAAUGAGAUAGUUGUUGGUAUAGUCACACAACUUAUUUAUCCCUACCGAAUAAAAUCACUAUUGAGGCAUAAGAUCGGUUUGCUUUUCCUCCUAACCACUUGCACAACUUGUUCUUGUUGGAUUCACCAUCAGGGCUAACCGUGCGUGUACCUUUUAGGUUGAGAAAGGCAACAGAUCCAAGUAAGGUUGGGUGCAUUGUUAUCGUUCUACCUCGUACAAUUGUCAAUAUGAUUGAUGAUGAAAAUAGAGACAUUUGAAAUGUCUCAGAAUCAGUUUGAUUUGAUCAAUCUGAUGAGAUUUCCAUAUCGAUUUCAUUGGUGUGAUUAAUGAAAUUCUAAGAGGUUUGGCCAAUCCCUUUUUGCAUCACAUGCUACUAUCAGGUUCUUUGCCUAAGUUUGUUUUGUAGGGAAUGUUGUGAAUAGUAUGAUCUAGAUGUAUAUGAGAUGCACAUGUGUAUUUUUGGCAGUAUGUGUGUCAUAUUUAUCGCAACUAGGUUGAGGUUACUCUUUUAUUGUGUAAUGACCUAUGUGUUGAUCUAUGAUGUUUGAUAUUUUACCAGCUAGUGAUAUCAUAGUUCUUGAUGUUAUCAUGGAAGACUCAAGUAUGAAGGCUCGAAGGAUGAGGAAUUAGUGAUACAGAUCAUCAUGACAUGGGGCCAUACUCAUAUUUAAUAUGAUUAUUCGUGGUGUUUUAUUUUCUUGUUAUACUAUUCACCCAUGUAUUGAAUGUUACAGUAUAGCUUCCUUUGAAAAAAUUAGGAGAUCACUUUGAUUCUCUUCCAAUUGGUUGGUCUACAAAAGUAGACUGGCAUCAAUUACCUUGAUCUAAUAUGAUGGAUGUCAGACAUCUUUAUGCAUAAUGUUGGUUUGCUUAACAAGGCUACCAAAUAGGAUUUAGGUCUUGGGCUUGUUGGGAGCUAAAGCAUUGGAUGUUAUCCAACAAACAGGAGUCACAUAGGAUAUGAUUAAAAAAUGUUGCUUACCUAUGUUAUUAUGUUUCUACCCGUGAUGCCAAAGCUCAUUAGAACUUAGUGAACAUGGAUAUUCUCCAUUAUAUGUCAUUAGAUGGGAUACAAUUGCAAAGCAUAUAUUAGGAGAAUCUUUUCUUAGAUUGUUUAAUGAAAUAUUAAAGUAAAUAUAGUGAUGAACUUUGCUUCUAUUUUGUUAUAGAUGACACCUAAUGCUUUUACCAGUUUUAAUUUGUUAAAAAAUUGACAAAGAAAAACUCACUCGAACAAACUUUAUUGAUUGAUACCAUAAUUUAGAAUUGUUCUUAAGCAAAAUAAAAAAGAAUAUAUUCUUGAGACUCCUGAUCCUAAUGAGCGAGUCAACAAAGAAUGCAAGUGAUGCUGAUUGAAGUGCUUAUGAGAGACAUAUGAAUGAAUAGGGCUAGAAAAAAUCUCAAUGCUCUCAAGAUGGUUUGGGAUAGAUGCGUAUUGGCUCGGCUCUUGAGCCUCUGAUAAGCUGAGUUGAGUUGAACUAGCUCAUUAUUACUAACAAAAGAUUCUCAACCACCAAAUAGGAGACAUGAGGAUUUGUUUUCGGAACUCGGCUCCUUCCAAAAAGAACAUAUGUCGUCACCGAGAAAGCUUCAAGUGACCCAAAGAUCAAGCUUAAGAUGAGUCCAUUUCAACUCCUUUCAUUAUCUACUAUUUUGAUCUCUUCCACUACAGAGGUAAGAUUAGGGCCUUCACAAACUUUCCACGGCUCACCAAAAAGCGUGAGAAAUCGCUAGACAAUGUCAUGUUGUUUAUAAGUUUUUUCUAUCAAAAGUAGUAAAUGCUUCAUGAGCGAUUGAUGAAGCCCGCAAGUGUUUAAGGAUUUGAUUUGCUCACUUUUAAUCUCGAUAACUAAAUCUCUCAAACAAAUUUACUAAAUCUCACAUAAAUAUCAUGAAGAGAGGUUGGGAAGAGCUAGAGAGGCUUUUGUGGACAUAGGGGUGUGGCAUUAACUCCUCAAACUGAGGAAGGGGCUAUAAACAUCGUACACUCAUGAACUUGUUCGUUAUGUCUAACAUAACUAGGAACUUACAGAAAAUAUUCGGAACUUCCAGGCCAGAAUAAAAGUUGUCGUUUGAACAGUAAAACUAGGCAUUGACCUAGAAUGAGUGUACAAUCUAGAACUUCUAGAAAACAUGUCCAAAACUUUGAAAAUUUUGAAUAAGUAGUACAUGUAACUUCACAAAAAAAACAUCAUAACUUCUAGCUCCAAGCUCCAAUUUUGACCAUCUUGGAUUCUACAAAAGGGUUAUUUAGAGGGAUAACCAUCACAACUAAAACACAAUCUCCAUGACCAAAAAGUACAAUUGUUGGUAUGUGUUUCUCUUGGUUAUUAUUCGAGUUUUGGUUAUUUUGAGCACUUAUGACUUAUCAAACUAUGUUUGUUCUAUCUCUCUUAAUAGUAUGACAUACAUAUAUAUACUGAAGAUCAAAGGUUAUGUCUCUCUCACUCACUUGAGUUUUCAAUAUCUUCAUAUGCCAUUUUUUCUCAAAGUAUCUUCAGAAGGGUUUGCAACACCCUUUGUCACAUUCUUUGAGUAACACGACAUUGGGUUUGUAACAUAAACCAUUUAAUAUAUGUGAGUUUAAUUCAUGGCUUCAAGUGAUUUCUACUUAUGAUACAACAAUGAUUUAAAUCUCCACGUAAUUUGACUAGUAGUUCAUCAACUUAGUGCAAUGAUUCUCUCUCAGCCGAGCGCGCCUAAUCUUGCCAAUUGAGCAACGUAUAACCAAUUUGGCUAGCUCAUAUUAGCAAAGAAAAAACAUCUUUCAUGUCAAUCAACAUAGCAAGGCAAGGAAACAAAACCUAGGUGGUGUUUGGCUCAGUGGGUGAUCCGGUAACGACAAUGGAAUUGACUCCCAGCGUAAUCCGUUACGGCGGAACAAUUAUUUGACUUUGUUUGUUUACCGGCCACAGCGAGGUCCGUAAACUGAUAAUGAUGGGGGAGGACGGUAUCACUGCUGCUCUAGACCGUAUUCGAUCCCUCCGCUACUCAUUACGUUAUGACCCAACCAAACUUACAGUAAUGAGAUUGGAUGGCAUUGGGAAACGAUCACGGAAGAAAAUCAACCAACCAAACAGCUCCCUAUUGUCUUCCUCACUCAGUUUCCUGCCAUUUGGUAAGGUGAGGCUAGCUCCAGCAAGGGACCCUAAAGAGUUCUGUACCCUAAAUAUAGAGGAUCAAAUGGUACUCUACGCUCUCCAGCAGCGUCCUCUAAACGGUCCUCUAAAUUUAGAGGACGAUGCUGGAUUCUCUAUGUAUAGAGUUUCUCUAAACGGUCCUCUAUUCAUUUGAAUACUUUAAAUAACCGGUUUAGCAAAACUAAAAUAUGUACAAUACAUUUGAGAGUAUGACAAAUACGUAUGUACAAAAAAUAAAAAUAAAAAAUGUCUCUAAUAUAGAUAUUUGAGUAUAGAGGACGUCAUUUAGAGGAUGUUGUGUUGGAGAGGAAGGAGAUAUAGAGGAUGAAAUCUUUUAGAGAAGACUGUAAAUGAUGGAUAUAGAAGAUGAAUAUAGAGGACGUUGCUGGAGACAGCCUGAGGCUCGCCUAGGGAACCAAAUGUGCCCUUAGUUUAGUCUUUUAUUUUUUUGUACUUGUACGAAGCAAGGCAUCUAUGCAAGCAAAUGCAUACGUACAUGCAUAAGGAUGUAUAUAUUUGAGUACAUUUAGGUAGUUUCGGGGUUUUUUUUGAAAGUACAGUUACGUAGUUUCUACUAGUGCAGAAAUAGGUAAAUAGCUAACCGAAACUCAGAAGAAUAUGGAGAAAUCGUCAUCUGUCCCUCCGUCGCUGCAGACAUCCAUAAGGCUCGUCUCGCCGGCACCACUGGAGCCGAACACUUCAUGUACGACCUUCUCCACGUCCAGCGCUUCGGCCUCCACCACCGCGCCGGAGUUAGCAUCGUUUUCAUCAGGCGACGGGAUGAACGGCGGGCGCGCCACGUCGAGGACGCGGUCCCAGUCGACGCCUCUAAAGAAGGCGUGGCGCUUGACGCCGCGCGCGCCUAGUCGCUUCCCGGGGUCCUUCUCGAGGAGCCUGGUGAUGAGGUCGCACAACGGCGUCGCUUCGCCGGGCAGCUCCGGCGGCGCGGUGAGGACGCGGUGAAACGUCUCCCGCCGGCUCCGGCCCCGGAAUGGGGUGCAUCCGUACAGCAUCUCGUAGAUCACCACGCCGAGGCCCCACCAGUCCACGGCGUAGUCGUGCCCGCUGCCGGCUACGAUCUCCGGCGCCACGUAGUCCUCCGUGCCCACGAACGAGUUCGACUUGGCUGGCGUCCGAACGCCCGGCGGCGAGCAGCAUGACGACGAAGACGCGGACGGGGCAGUCAUGGAAGUGAACAACGGGGACUGGGGCGAAGCUACGUGGCGGCGGGAGAAGCACGCGAAAACCGUAGAUGCCUUCGUGUUCUUGUUCCUGCGCCUGUGGCGAUGUGAGGAAGGUAAAAGCGAGCUGGCGCGUGCUGGGGCCGCGUCCGGCGGCGGCGGGGGCAGAGGCGGCGGCAACGUGGUAGAGAGGUCGAAGUCGACGAGCAUGACGUGGCCUGAUUCCUGGAUGAGGACGUUCUCCGGCUUGAGGUCGCGGUACACGACGCCGAGGCCGUGAAGGUGCUCGAGCGCGAGCACCAGCUCCGCCGCGUAGAACCGGAUGACGGAUUCCGGGAACGUGGUCUGGGCGCGCCAGCGGCGCCGGAGCGACUUGAGGUCGCCGCCGGGGCAGCGGUUGAUGACGAAGCCGACGACGGCGUCGGUGGCCACGACGCCGCGGAGGGACGGGAGCAGCGGGUGGCGGAGCGCGAGCAGAACGUCGCGCUCGAACCAGAUCCUCCGGUGCCCGUCUCCGCCGCACGUGCCUCCUGCUGGCCCCGCCGCUCCCUUGUGCCGCGCGGCGGCGCGGGACAUGGCCUUGAGCGCCAUGGGCUCGCCCGCGCCUGCAGCGGUGCUGUCCCCGCCUGCGGCGACGGGCACGACGUGGAAGACCACGCCCCUGGCGCCCUGGCCGAGCACGGACAGUGCCUUGAGGUCCGCGAGGGCAAGGUUGAGCUGCUGCGGCAGUGAAGGCGCCAUGCUCGUUCACCACGGACGACGUGCCAAGAGGAAGAAGCUACUCCGGGUGCUGUUAUGUUGAGCGGCAGGGUCUGGCCUGGGUUUCCCUUUUUAGAUUCUUGAGGUGAUAGCUCUUCUGUGGGUUCGGUUUGCUUCUCCACGUCGAUCGAAAAUCCCCCUGCUCCUCUCGUUGAAAAUUCGUCCAGUUCAAAUUCACGUGUUACGUACGUGGCGUCCAAGACAAGACGCUGUCGCAUCUUCCAGAUCCAGCCACGCUUUUACCAACAGGAAAUCAAUGGCAGUCACAGGGCAACCAAUAUGGAACACACCUGAAAUGGAUUCACGUGAUGAGACGCGUCAGGGUCAGGGCCAGGUCAGGUGCGAUUUGUCGCCCAUGAUCCAUCCACCUCAGUAAAGAGCUGUGCACACGUCCUUCUUGUGAUCUACUGCUGCCAAGUGCCAAACUCUUGACUGAACGUCAACUGCCACAUGAAGUCAUGAACUUUGUCCAGGCCAGACGAGCUAGUUCCUGGACAGAGACCAGCUAUCGCCAGUUGUUUUCGUCCAGGUCACCUUAUCUAGAUCCAAGACAGCUUAGGUGUAACGUACGCAUGCAGUACGACUAGUACACAACGUCAUCGGCUGGAACUGGAAUUCAGCUUGGCCAUGGUCGCCACGGUCCAAACAACAUUCUCGUUGCUAAAGGCCAGCAGUUGGUGCUGUCUAGGGUUCGGUUAUUACAAAAUUUUGGCAUAAACCAAGCCGCCGAGAGCUCUGCACAUUGAUAGCUUUAGGGGAUCUGUUUGGUUCCUGGAACUAAUCUUUAGUCCCUGCAUUUUAAUCUCGUUUGAUCUCUAAUUUGUCAAACGGGUAGACUGUCCCUCAAGGAGUCACUAAAAGGAACUAAAGCAGUUUUUUUUUUGCACCGGUUGCCCUCGCAUUCAUCUCCCUCUCCCACACUACACUCCGAAGGUUCGACAUGUUUCUCCCCUUGUCGCCGCCGCUCGAUCCGCACAGCACCGCCCCCACGUCAAUCCACCCCGCGCCGCCCCUCAACGUUCAUCACAUCCCAGCUAGCAGUUUACUAACAUCUUCACUAAGACUAAGAGUCUUCCCUCCUUGUUGCUCUCAGAGUUCCGGUUCAGUUUCAACAUCGAUCAUAGCUAGAGUUUCGACAGUCAUAGGUGUUAGACUAUCUUAUUUCUUUCUAAAUGUUAUGGGCCUAGAGCCCAGGCCAUGCGACUCGGAUAUAUGUAAUACUCAGCCCACUCAAUGAACUAGGGUUUCAUUUUUUUCCCAAAGAUAUUUUGGCCCUCCUCAUCUACUUAUGUUACCACACAAAUGUACCUUCCUACCAUCUUUACUUAAACACUUUUCACAUGGUACCUUUGAUUGUGAGGCUUCAGAUUUUAGGAAUAGAUGGCUCACAUAAUCUGCAAACACCAUGUUUUUUCUAGAAAUCAUAGAACCAGUGUCUUGAAUUCACUAGUCACAUUUUUCACUCAAGUAAAAUCAACAAGUGACUAUCUAAGGAUGUAAAGGUCACAUUAGAAGCAAUCUAGAGAACAAAAAAAGGAGAGGUUAUGAAACAUGUUGUUUUUUCAUUAGAAGUGUACCACCAUUCAAGUGUUUGGUUAAAAGCAAUGAAAUUCUGUGGUUCACUGUGAAACUGGACCAACUUUACAAGUGGUAAGUAUUGCAGGAAGUUCAGGGGGAAAGUUAAAAUUGAAAAGGAACCUGGUUCCUGCAUGGGUCUGACUGAUUAUGCACAAGUGCCCUAUCCUUCGAAAAGCUACUGAUGCUUAUUCUUCACCUUCUCCAGCUGAAGAAGCUACGCAAGCUACGAUCACAGGAAUUAUCAUUAUGCAAUUACAUGUUGGGUUAGUUUGGUAAUGAACAAAACAAAGAUACGUGUGUUUCAUUGUCCUUGUUGCAAAGUGUGUAUUACUUUGCAACUGAAACGUUUGUUGAUCAACUGCACACAGAUACGUUUGUUUGAUCAUUCUGCAAUCACAAACAUUGUGUCUCUGUUGCAAAGUAUUACAGUACCAAAAACAGUUGCUAUCUUGCUUCAGACAGCAAAAUUACCAUUGACCUAUAAAACUAUAGGUGUUACUGGACCAGAACCAAGAAAUAGUCAAGCACAUUUGCAGUCUUAGUCUCACUACACACUAUAGCAGAUGAUAUACACAACAACAACAAAGGUGUUUACCCCCAAACCAAGUUCAGGUAGAAAGAUGAUAUACAUAGGACUAAGAAGAAAUAUAAGCAAGUUUGUAAUCUACAUGACUAAUCCACUGGAUUAGACAAUUGUUAUCAAAUGAUCUUCCAGCAAACUGACAUAAUAUAACAUCAAAAGGUAGCUCAACAACAUUCAUGUCCAGUUUUAAACUAGAUCAGAACUAAAAAACAAAGAAAAUAUUUACAUCCAAGUGGUUCACAGUACCAGCACUCCAAAUUAUGUGCACCCUUGGUGUCCAAUCCUCCAAACACGCCAGGGCUACAACCAAGCACCAGCAGGUGAUUGCAUUCUAUAACAUAUGGGAAUAUAAGCUGUUGUCAUGACAAUUGUAAAACCAUGGUUAUCAAAUAGGCCCUAAGCUGUUGACGAGCGUCAUCAACGGUAACCGGAGCUCGGUAACCAUGGAGAUGACCCUGUGCUUGCUACCCCAUUACUCAAACGGAGUCCUCCCGUGAGAGUGCCGAGUUCAGAAUCUGGAGCGUCGCGUCGAGGUCCACCUGCUUGCGCAGAGCGGCGAGCGAGGAGCCGGACUUGGUCGGAGAUGGCGUAAACCCGAAGGGGCACGGGACGGGGCCGACACCGGCAAGGCUGAGGCUACAGCGUGGGUGGCCGGGCGUCACCAUGGCACAGGCACGCAACCGUCGCCGCUGGUGCCGAUGAAGCUCGAGAGCCCGUCUGUCAUGAACCAUGUGUAGCCUGGUUUAAUACCACCUCGCUUGCAGGAGGAGGCUGUGGCCGGCUUAUAUGGGCGAGCUUCCCUCCUCUCUCAGGCUAGGUUUUGAGAUAUGAGUGAGGGUCUCGCUGCUGAAGGCCAGCCCACGAGCGUAUGAACACCCGAACGCAUGUAAGUGUGGGUUUUUCGGUGGACUGGUAACAAAUGGUAACGGAGCCCAGGCCCGCCUGUUAGGGGAUGGAAGAAAUAUCACGAACUAUGUGUAGCCUGGGUUAGUACCACCUCGCUUGCGGGAGGGGGCCACGGCCCCCUUAUAAGGGCGAGCUUCAUUCCUCUCUCAACCCGGGUUUUGAGAUGUGAGUGUGGAGCUCGCUGCUGAAGGCCGACCCACGAGCGCAUAAACGCCUGAGACUGACCCAGGUACGCUAACAAAUGGUAACGGAGCUCAGGCCCGCCUGUUUAGGGGAUGGAAUGUCACGAACUAUGUGUAGCCUGGGUUAGUACCACCUCGCUUGCGGGAGGGGGUCGUGGCCGGCUUAUAAGGGCGAGCUUCAUUCCUCUCUCAACCCGGGUUUUGAGAUGUGAGUGUGGAGCUCGCUGCUGAAGGCCGACCCACGAGCGCAUAAACGCCUGAGACUGGCCCAGGUUGUCGGCGUUUCGAGACAGGGGGGUCCCUAAGCCGACGAGUGAGUGUGCUGCGUGCCCCAGCCCAGAUGGGUCGAGCGCGUGGGCGAGCGCGAAGGGGGGAGAGGCGAGGUGGCCGGAGCCGAGCGUGAGAGAGGUGGAAGUUCCGCGGCCUUCGUGUUCGUCCCGCGCCCAGGUCAGGUGCGCUUGCAGUAGGGGGGUUACAAGCGUCCACGCGGGUGAGGGAAGCGAGCGGCCCCAAGAGAGCGCCUGUCCCGUCCUCGGUCCCGCGCGGCCAACCUUCUCUAAGAAGGCCCUGGUCCUCCCUUUUAUAGUCGUAAGGAGAGGAUCCAGGUGUACAAUGGGGGGUGUAGCAGAGUGCUACGUGUCUAGCGGAGGGAGAGCUAGCGCCCUAGGUACAUGCCAAUGUGGCAGCCGGAGAGAUCUGGGCACCCUGCUGGCGUGAUGUCGUGGCUGUCGGAGGUGCGGCGGAGCCUGGUGGAGGGACAGCUGUUGGAGCGGUCGAAUCCCUGCUGACGUCGUCCUGCUUUCGUAAGAGAGCUGGGGGCCGCCGUCGUCAUAGAGCUUGUGGAGCGCCAUCAUUGCCCUCCGGCGGAGCUGGCCGGAUGGGACGCCGGUCUUGUUCUUCGUGACCCGAGUCGAUUCGGGGUAGGAUGAUGAUGGCGCUUCCUGUCGACGUGGCGGUCUGUGCCCUAGGCAGGGCGACGUGGGGGUUCCUCCGAAGCCGAGGUUGAGUCUGCCUUCCGUUGCCGUGGCCGAGCCCGAGCCAUGGGGUCGGGCGAGGCGGAAGUCGUUCGGCCGAGGCCAGGGCGGAGUCCGAGCCCUGGGGUCGGGCGAGGCGGAAGUCGUUCGGCCGAGGCCAGGGCGGAGUCCGAGCCCUGGGGUCGGGCGAGGCGGAAGUUGUUCGGCCGAGGCCAGGGCGGAGUCCGAGCCCUGGGGUCGGGCGAGGCGGAGUUUCGUCGUCUUCCGGGUCUUAGCCCGAGUCCGAGCCCUGGGGUCGGGCGAAGCGGAGUUUCGUCGUCUUCCGGGUCUUAGCCCGAGUCCGAGCCCUGGGGUCGGGCGGAGCGGAGUUUCGUCGUCUUCCGGGUCUUAGCCCGAGUCCGAGCCCUGGGGUCGGGCGGAGCGGAGUUCGCCGUCUUCCGGGUCUUAGCCCGAGUCCGAGCCCUGGGGUCGGGCGGAGCGGAGUUUCGUCGUCUUCCGGGUCUUAGCCCGAGUCCGAGCCCUGGGGUCGGGCGGGGCGGAGUUCGCCGUCUUCCGGGUCUUAGCCCGAGUCCGAGCCCUGGGGUCGGGCGGGGCGGAGUUCGCCGUGGCGCCUUUGGCAAGGCCUACUGCCUGUCAGACUCACUCUGUCGAGUGGCACUGCAGUCGGAGUGGCGCAGGCGGCGCUGUCCUUCUGUCAGACUGGCCAGUGGAGAGGUAGAGUGACGGCGGUCACCUCGGCUCUGCCGGGGGCGCGUGUCAGGAUAGAGGUGUCAGGCCACCUUUGCGUUAAAUGCCCCUGCAAUUUGGUCAGUCGGUGUGGUGAUUUAGUCAAGGUUGCUUCUGAGCGAAGCCAAGGCCUUGGGCGAGCCGGUGAUGUGUCCGCCAUAAAAAGGGGGCCUCGGGCGAGACGGAAGUCUCUCGAGGUCGGCUGCCUUUGGCCGAGGCUAGGCUCGGGUGAAGCGUGAUCGAGUCACUCGUGUGGACUGAUCCCUGACUUAAUCGUACCCAUCAGGCCUUUGCAGCUUUAUGCUGAUGGGGGUUACCAGCUGAGAAUUAGGCGCCUUGAGGGUACCCCUAAUUAUGGUCCCCGACAGUAGCCCCCGAGCCUCGAAGGGAGUGUUAGCACUCGCUUGGAGGCUUUUGUCGCACUUUUUUGCAAGGGGACCAGCCUUUCUCGGUUGCAUUUCGUUCCGGUGGGUGCGCGCGAGCGCACCCGCCGGGUGUAGCCCCCGAGGCCUCGGAGGAGUGGUUACACUCCUUCGAGGUCUUAAUACUUCGCUUAACGCUUCGGCUGGUCUGGUCGUUCCCUCAUGCGAACUGGCCGUAGCCCGGGUGCACGGUCGGGGCCCAAGCUCUCGGGCUGGUAUGUUGACGCUGUCAACGAUUUGGCCGGAGCCGGUUUUUGCGAGAGCAGCCCCCGAGCCUCUGCACAGGGCGAGAGGACGAUCAGGGACAGACUCGGCUUUUUACAUACGCCCCUACAUCGCCUUUCCGCAAGGAGGAGGGGGGAGUGCGCCAUGUUACCCUCGAUGGGCACCGAACAUGGUGUCUCCGGUGAGCUGCAAGCGGGUAAUCCGAGUGGACGUCCGUGCCCCGUUCGUUGGGGGUCGGCUAGGGGCCCAGAGGCACGCCCAAAAGUACCUGCGGGUGAUUUGCCGGACCUGGUCCCCUGGCGACGGGGUCCGAGGGCUCGAUGCCUCCCUCCGAUGGGAUUCCGUUACAAGAUCGUUCCCGCUGGUCUCGGAAAUGUCCUAGGGUACCUCGGGAGCGCAGCCCGAGCCUCGGUUAUGUAUCGAACGUACCCCUGGUCAUCCCUCGCUCGGCGUCUGAGGCGACUGUGAACCCUUCGGGGGCCAGCCUUCGAACCCCUGAUCAGUAAUGGGCACGGAGCCCGAGUAGCCUGAGGCGGCCAUGGAACCCUUCGGGGGGCUGGCCUUCGAACCCCUGACCAGUAGUGGGUGUCGGGCCCACGCGAUCUGAGGCGGCUGUUGAACCCUUCGGAGGGCCAGCCUUCGAACCCCUGAUCAGUAGUGGGGGGCUCGGAGCCCGGUUCCUUCGCGGAGAAGGAUCCCUUUCGGGGUAUCCCCCUUUCCCGGUCCCUGUUGCAAGAGAUAGAGAAAGAGGAAAACGGCAAAGGAUACGAAAUCGGACGACGUGGCGUACCUUUUCUGAAGCGGUUAUUACGGCGAAGGUGAAGCGUCGCGCGCUCCUCCUGCCAGAAGCGCCGCGUGUCCCGCCGCGGAGUUAAUGCGACUGGGCGAGUGGUUGGCGGGGCGGCCGUUACGCGCGUGCGAUCCGUUCGAGGAACGGGUCACGGGUGCACCGUCUCCACGCCGUGAGAGGAGGCUCUCUUGCUGUCCCAGGAUGGGACGUGAGCCUGGCUGACGACGUGACCGCUGCGCCCGCCCGCCUGCCACCGCUAUUACUGCCGGCCCUCUUUCGGUCGCUUUGACCGACGCGCCAGGCUGGCGCUGUUGGGUCGCCUCGAGUCGCGGCAUUGGCUCCGCAACCGAAGAGGCGCGAUGGUGGCACAAGUGGCGGUGCGGUUGCUUGCAUGCAGCAACUGGCGCGCCGGUUGCUCGACGCGUGGGCCUGGGUUCCCAAGCUGGCGUGUCAGAAGUUGGAGAAGCGCGUCCAUCUGGCGCGGUUGCAUGCCGCCUGCAUGGCUGCCCGCCCCUUCUGCCCGUUGGUCUGGGCGGAAAUGGGGGGUCGCUUGUAACCGCUGGACGGUCGUGCGCACCACGCGCGGCGGUUCGGCUUCUUCUGCCCUGAGCCGACUUGCAUGACAUGCGGGACCCAGCCCCCGAGUCGCAGGGGAGGGCCUUGGAGCGUGUUGGAGAAGACUCGGCCCGCGGCGCCUGGGGGCGCACGUAGGGGGAGUUGCCUUUAAAAGGAGGGAGGCUCCUUUCGUAAGGCAACCAUGUCUUCUUCCUCCCUUAAGCGUCGGGUCUUCCCGUCUUCCAAGCCCCCGGAUGGGGGGUAUCCGCCGCCUUUCCGCCUCCUCGUUGGAGGAACGCAACUCCAUGGGAGUUGGUACCUCUCAGCCGUCGUUCGGCUUCAAGGAUUUUCAUUACGCAGCCUGGCCACGCUCCGCCACCGGUGGCCACCCAAGAUGGUGACCUCUAGUUCGACGGUGGGGAAAGCGGGCCAGGCCGCGGCCUCUACUCCUCCCUCGGCCUCAAGGAUUUUCGUCAUCCAGGCCAAGAUGGAAGAUGAGGCGAGUCGGGGGGCCGCCCCCGCGUGGGUCGGCUGCCCUUUUCUUCCCCCCGCGCCCGGGGGUGAAGGGCGUCCUUGAGCCCCACGGAGACUUCCUCCAGCCAUGCCGGGAUAUGUAGGGCGCUAGUGGCCCUGGAUCUCCGUCUCCCUGCCUGAAUGGCUGGUUCUCGUCCUCAGCGGGGGGAGUCCUCCUGCCGUGACACCUGCCCCAAAGCUGCUGCCUAAGCCGCUUCGCUGUCUAGGGCAGGGGUGGUUGUCGUCGCGGUUGGAACGGGCGGCAGUGAGCCGCUCAUCGUUCUUCAGUUACUCCGCAGGCCUUCCCCCUCGGAGGGGGGUUGUUCGUACCUGCGGAGGUGGGAACCGGAGUUCCGUUGGUAGUGGCAUCUCGAAUGCCAGUGUUUUUCGUUCAUUGUGGCUGUCGGGGCCUGAACAUGUAUGUAAUUUCGGCACGGAGCCGUGUUUUUUCCUCAUUUUCGAGCACUAAGUCUCGCCUGUUGAUUAUCUGAACCGCUUUACCAAGCAUGAGUCGCCCCGUGUCAAGGUGACGGGUGAGGUAUCCGUAUCCCGGAGGCGUAGGAAUCCCUCGGCCCGUUCGGCCUUGUUGUCUGGGGUUCCUCUAGCUUAGUUAAAGAGACCCCUCGGCCGCCCUUCGGUGGACCGAGGCCAGGGGUAGCGAUAUCAGUAUGAACAGAGGCGGAGUUGGCUCGAGAAUGGGAACCUGGUUGGCCGGAGCCUAGUCGUGUUGUCCGUCAGCGGAGCCGACGCCAAAGUCGAUCAGUCGAGGCCUCGGGUCGGGCUGGCGCCCUUGGAAGCCGGUUGACCGAGGCCCCAGGGGUAACCGGUUGAGCCGCCUGCUCGGGCCGGAUUCCCGGAGGAGCCCCUGGACCGCGGCGCCGCCCGAGGCUGGGUCGGGCUUUGCUGAAGACGUCGUCGAUGCCGAGGGUGCUACGGCUCCCUUCAGCGUGAAGACCUGAGCCUGCAGGAUCAGAUCAUCUUGUAGCGUGUGCUUUCUGCGGCCACCGAGGCCAGAAGAACACGCCCUCGCCGCGCUCGCGAAGCUGCGUCUUUUUUCCUCUUGUUUCGAGCAUCUGGACUCUGUCGGUAACAGGGAUGUUUGUGUGAGCGAGAGUUGCUUUUCGCGGAAGGGACGAGUGAGGUAUCCGUAUCCCCGAGGCGUGGGAAUCCCUCGGCUCGGUCGGCCUUGCCGCUUACGCGUACUUUCACCCGUCCAUGAGGCCCUGUCCCCGACUUAGUCGAGAAGGCUUGAAGGACUGCUUCGGCAGGAGAGCUUCCGAACGUGAAGACUUGUUCGGUCCACGGAAUCGCUUUAUCCGAGCGCAAGUUACUUAUCGCAGAAGGUGAUGAGUGAGGUAUCCGUAUCCCGGAGGCGUAGGAGUCCCUCGGCUCGGUCAGCCUUGGCUGCUUACGUGUACUCCGUCGUUUCCAGGAUCCGCUUUCCGAAGUAGUCAAGAGGCACGAAAGAAAUCCUGCUAAAAAGAGAUCCUUUUUCGAGGAAAAAUUCGACGCAGAGGGGGUCUCCCCCCUUUAGCCCCCGAGGGAGGGUCGGGCUUCGCCGAGGCUAAGCCGACCCUUCCUUGACGACUAAACUUUGCGUAGGUGCGAGGUAUAUGAACAACUUGAAAACAUCUUAAGGGUAGAAGCGACGUAGCUGUUUGAUGUUCCAAGCGUUGCCGUAGAUCUCGCCUUGAUUGCUGGCCAGCUUGUAUGUUCCGGGCUUCAGAACUUUGGCGAUGACGAAUGGCCCUUCCCAGGGGGGCGUGAGCUUGUGCCUCCCUUGGGCGUCUUGUCGCAGCCGAAGCACCAGGUCGCCCACCUGGAGUUCUCGGGACCGGACCCCUCGGGCGUGGUAGCGUCGCAGGGACUGUUGGUACCGCGCCGAGUGUAGCAAGGCCCUGUCCCGAGCUUCCUCCAGCUGGUCCAGCGAUUCCUCUCGGCUGGCUUGGUUGCUUUGUUCGGUGUAGGCCCUCGCCCUCGGGGAGCCGUAUUCCAGGUCAGUGGGCAAGACAGCUUCAGCCCCGUAGACCAGGAAAAACGGCGUGAAGCCCGUGGCACGACUCGGCGUCGUCCUUAGGCUCCAGACCACCGAGGGGAGUUCCUUCAUCCAUCGCCUGCCGAACUUGUUGAGGUCGUUGUAGAUCCGAGGCUUGAGCCCUUGUAGAAUCAUGCCGUUGGCACGCUCUACCUGCCCAUUCGACAUGGGAUGAGCCACGGCGGCCCAGUCCACCCGGAUAUGGUGAUCUUCGCAAAAAUCCAAGAAUUUUUUGUCGGUGAACUGGGUGCCGUUGUCGGUGAUGAUGGAGUUCGGGACUCCGAAGCGAUGGAUGAUGUUGGUGAAGAAUGCCACCGCCUGCUCGGACCCGAUGCUGUUCAGAGGUCGGACCUCGAUCCACUUGGAGAAUUUGUCGAUGGCGACCAGCAGGUGCGUGUAGCCCCCGGGCGCCUUCUGCAAGGGACCGACGAGGUCCAGACCCCAUACAGCGAAGGGCCAGGUGAUGGGUAUUGUCUGCAGAGCCUGAGCGGGCAGGUGUGUCCGCUUCGCAUAGAAUUGGCACCCUUCGCAGGUGCGGACAAUUCUAGUGGCGUCAGCCACCGCCGUUGGCCAGUAGAAGCCUUGCCGGAAAGCAUUUCCAACAAGGGCUCGGGGUGCUGCGUGGUGGCCGCAAGCCCCCGAGUGUACUUCUUGCAGCAGUUCCCGACCUUCGGCGAUGGAGAUGCAUCGCUGGAGGAUGCCCGAGGGGCUGCGAUGGUAGAGCUCCUCUUCGUCGCCCAGCAAGACGAAUGACUUGGCGCGUCGCGCUACCCGCCGAGCCUCGACUUGGUCGAGGGGUAGCUCUCCUCGACGGAGAUAUUGCAGGUACGGGGCCUGCCAAUCCUGGUCUGGCGCGGCCCCGCUCUGCCCUUCCUCGACGUUCAAUGCCCCGCCCUCGGGGGCUGAGGGUACCUCGGGCUGGGCCGAGGGUGCCUCGGGCUGAACCGAGGGUACCUCGGGCUGAGCCGAGGGUACCUCGGGCUGAGCCGAGGGUACCUCGGGCUGAGCCGAGGGUACCUCAGGCUCGGGCGCGUCGUCGAGCUUGACGGAGGGUUGAUGCAGAUCCCGGGAGAAGACGUCCGGGGGAACUGUCGUUCGCCCCGAGGCUAUCUUAGCCAGCUCGUCUGCGGUUUCGUUGUAGCGCCGAGCGAUGUGGUUGAGCUCGAGCCCGAAGAACUUGUCUUCCAGGCGCCGAACCUCGUCGCAGUAGGCCUCCAUCUUCGGGUCGCGGCAGUGGGAGUUCUUCAUGACUUGGUCGAUGACGAGCUGCGAAUCACCGCGGGCGUCGAGGCGUCUGACCCCUAGCUCGAUGGCGAUCCGCAAUCCGUUGACCAAAGCUUCGUACUCGGCCACAUUGUUGGACGCCGGGAAGUGGAGGCGCAGCACGUAGCGCAAGUGCUUUCCGAGGGGCGAGAUGAAGAGCAGGCCCGCGCCGGCCCCCGUCUUCAUCAGCGACCCGUCGAAAAACAUGGUCCAGAGCUCCGGUUGGAUCGGAGUCGUUGGCAGUUGGGUGUCGACCCAUUCGGCCACGAAAUCCGCCAACACUUAGGACUUGAUGGCCUUCCGAGGGGCGAACGAGAUCGUUUCGCCCAUGAUCUCCACCGCCCACUUUGCGAUCCUGCCCGAGGCCUCUCGGCACUGGAUGAUCUCCCCCAGGGGGAAGGAUGACACCACAGUUACCGGAUGGGACUCGAAGUAGUGUCGUAGCUUCCGCCUUGUCAGGAUCACAGCAUACAGCAGCUUUUGAACUUGUGGGUAGCGGAUCUUAGUCUCGGACAGCACUUCGCUGAUGAAGUAGACCGGCCUCUGAACGGGCAAUGUAUGCCCUUCCUCUUGCCUUUCGACCACAAUCGCGGCGCUAACCACUUGAGUGGUCGCGGCGACGUGGACCAAGAGGGUUUCUCCGUCCGCCGGCGGCACCAAGACUGGCGCCUUUGUAAGGAGCGCCUUCAGGUUGCCGAGGGCUUCCUCGGCCUCGGGGGUCCAAGCGAAACACUCGGCCUUCCUUAAGAGGAGGUACAGAGGCAGACCUCUUUCGCCGAGGCGUGAGAUGAAGCGGCUCAGGGCCGCGAGGCAUCCCAUGACCCCCUGUACCCCUUUUAAGUCCUUGAUGGGUCCCAUGCUGGUGAUGGCCGCAAUCUUCUCCGGGUUGGCUUCGAUGCCUCGCUCGGAGACGAUGAACCCUAGGAGCAUGCCUCGGGGCACCCCGAAGACACACUUCUCAGGAUUAAGCUUGACUCCUUUCGCCUUGAGACACUGGAAUGUCACUUCAAGGUCGGAGAGGAGGUCGGAAGCCUUCCGUGUCUUGACUACGAUGUCAUCGACGUAGGCCUCGACUGUGCGACCGAUGUGUUCGCCGAACACAUGGUUCAUGCACCGCUGGUACGUCGCGCCCGCAUUCCUCAAGCCGAACGGCAUGGUGACAUAGCAGUACAUGCCGAACGGUGUGAUGAAAGAAGUCGCGAGCUGGUCGGACUCUUUCAUCCGAAUCUGGUGAUACCCCGAGUAGGCAUCGAGGAAGGACAGGGUUUCGCACCCAGCAGUGGAAUCCACGAUUUGGUCGAUGCGAGGCAGAGGGUAGGGAACCUUCGGACAUGCUUUGUUGAGACCAGUGUAGUCUACACACAUCCGCCAUUUCCCCCCUUUCUUCCUCACAAGCACAGGGUUGGCAAGCCAUUCAGGAUGGAAUACCUCUUUGAUGAACCCCGCCGCCAUUAGCUUGUGGAUCUCUUCGCCAAUCGCUCUGCGCUUCUCCUCGUCGAAUCGGCGCAGAGGCUGCCUGACGGGUCGGGCUCCGGCCCGAAUAUCCAGCGAGUGCUCGGCGACAUCCCUCGGUACGUCGGGCAUGUCCGAGGGACUCCACGCAAAGACGUCGGCGUUUGCGCGGAGAAAGUCGACGAGCACUGCUUCCUAUUUGGGGUCGAGCCCGGAACCGAUCCGGAUCUGCUUGGUGGUGUCGCCACUGGGGUCGAGGGGGACGGCCUUGACCAUCUCCGCUGGCUCGAAGUUGCCGGCAUGGCGCUUCACGUCUGGGACCUCCUUGGAGAGGUUCUCCAGGUCGGCGAUGAGGGCCUCGGACUCGGCGAGGGCCUCGGCGCACUCCACGCACUCCACGUCGCAUUCGAACGCGUGUUUGUACGUGGGGCCGACGGUGAUGACCCCGUUGGGGCCCGGCAUCUUGAGCUUCAGGUAGGUGUAGUUGGGGACGGCCAUGAACUUCGCGUAGCAUGGCCUCCCUAGCACGGCGUGGUAGGUUCCUCGGAACCCGACCACUUCGAACGUCAGGGUCUCCCUUCGGAAGUUGGAGGGUGUUCCGAAGCAGACUGGGAGGUCGAGUCGCCCGAGGGGCUGGACGCGCUUCCCAGGGAUGAUCCCGUGGAAGGGCGCAGCGCCUGCUCGGACGGAGGACGGAUCGACGCGCAGAAGCUUGAGGGUCUCGGCGUAGAUGAUGUUGAGGCAGCUGCCCCCGUCCAUCAGGACCUUGGUGAGCCUGACAUCGCCGACAACGGGGUCGACGACGAGCGGGUAUUUCCCCGGGCUCGGCACAUGGUCGGGGUGGUCGGCCCGGUCGAAAGUGAUGGGCUUGUCGGACCAGUCUAGGUAGACUGGCGCCGCCACCUUCACCGAGCAGACCUCCCAGCGCUCUUGCUUGUGGUGCCGAGCCGAGGUAUUCGCCGCAUGCCCUCCAUAGAUCAUGAAGCAGUCGCGGACCUCGGGGAACCCCCCUGCUGGGUGAUCUUCGUUCUUGUCGUCGUCGUGGGCCCUGCCACCCUCGGCGGGUGGCCCGGCCCUGUGGAAGUGACGCCGAAGCAUAACGCACUCCUCGAGGGUGUGCUUGACGGGCCCCUGAUGGUAGGGGCACGGCUCCUUGAGCAUCUUGUCGAAGAGGUUCGCACCUCCGGGGGGCUUCCGAGGGUUCUUAUACUCGGCGGCGGCGACAAGGUCCGCGUCGGCGGCGUCGCGUUUCGAUUGCGACUUCUUCUUGCCUUUCUUCUUGGCGCCGCGCGGAGCAGACGCCUCGGGAGCUCCUUCCGAUGGGCGGCCCUGGGGCUGCUUGUCCUUUCGGAAGAUAGCCUCGACCGCCUCCUGGCCGGAGGCGAACUUGGUGGCGAUGUCCAUCAGCUUGCUCGCCCUGGUGGGGGUUUUGCGACCCAGCUUGCUCACCAGGUCGCAGCAAGUGGUGCCGUCGAGGAACGCGCCGAUGACAUCCGAGUCGGUGAUGUUGGGCAGCUCGGUGCGCUGCUUAGAGAAUCGCCGGAUGUAGUCCCGGAGCGACUCCCCCGGCUGUUGCCGGCAGCUUCGAAGGUCCCAGGAAUUCCCGGGGCGCACGUAUGUGCCCUGGAAAUUGCCAGCGAAGGCUUGGACCAAGUCGUCCCAGUUGGAAAUCUGCCCCGGAGGCAGGUGCUCCAACCAGGCGCGAGCAGUGUCGGAGAGGAACAGGGGGAGGUUGCGGAUGAUGAGGUUGUCGUCGUCCGUUCCACCCAGUUGGCAGGCAAGGCGGUAGUCCGCGAGCCACAGUUCCGGUCUCGUUUCCCCCGAGUACUUUGUGAUAGUAGUCGGGGGUCGGAACCGGGUCGGGAAUGGCGCCCGUCGGAUGGCCCGACUGAAGGCCUGCGGACCGGGUGGUUCGGGCGAGGGACUCCGAUCCUCCCCGCUGUCGUAGCGCCCCCCCACGCCUGGGGUGGUAGCCUCGGCGCACCCUUUCGUCGAGGUGAGCCCGACGGUCGCGUCGAUGGUGCUCGUUGCCGAGGUGGCCCGGGGCCGCAGGCGCGGUGUUGCGCGUGCGCCCGGUGUAGACCGAGGCUUCCCGCAUGAAUCGGGAAGUCGCGGCAUGAGGUUCCGAGGGAUAUCCUUGCCUCCGGGAUGCAGUGCUCUCGGCCCGCCGGGCCGCAGCGCCUUCCAGGAGAUUCUUGAGUUCUCCCUGGAUUCGCCGACCCUCGGUGGUUGACGGCUCCGGCAUCGCGCGGAUGAGCAUCGCUGCGGUUGCCAGGUUCUGACCGACCCCGCUGGAUGCGGGCGGCGGCCUGAUCCUGACAUCGUUGGCGACGCGGUGCUGGAGACCUUGGGGCAGAUGACGUAUUUCUCCGGCCAGGGGUUGGCCCACCCAUGCCUGUCCGACGUCCCGACGGAUCGGCUCAAGCGCUCCUGUUCCCUCGUUGAGCCUGGCCUGCGCCUCGCGGACUUGCUCGAGUUGUGGGUCGUAACCCCCCGCCGGAGCGGGGACCACAACUAGCUCCCGUGGGAUGUCGGCGCGAGGCACCGGCCUGGGGAGAUCACCAUCCUCCGGCAUGCCAAGAUGGUUGCCUUCGGUGGGAUCCCCUAGCUCGAUGUGGAAACAUUCGCGGCUUGGGCCGCAGCUCUCGUCGCCAAGGCUGCGGCUUCCAUCGGAACAGUCGGAUAGACAGUAGUCACAUGCGGUCAUGAAGUCCCGCACGGCACUGGGGUUGCCAAGUCCGGAGAAAUCCCAACCGAUGCUGGGAUCGUCAUCUUCCUCGGACCCAGAGGGCCCGUAGGUCGAGACGUCCGUCAGUCGGUCCCAAGGCGACCGCAUACAGAACCUCAGUGGGGUUGCACUCGCCUCAAUGAGAGCGCCCGCCAAAACGAGGUCGUUUGGCGGGUUGAGGCCGAGUCGAAAUGACGCAAGAUGGGAGUUAGUCGUUACCUUUCGGUCGACGAGGAGCGACGUAGUCACAUCGGGGACUGGUUGCGCCGUCAUCUCUGGUUCGAGGGCGACGUCCUGCAGGCUUUCCGCGAGCGCGCCGGCGUCGUCUUCUUGCUCAAGGUCAGCGUGCCGCGGGGGGACGGCGCUCGCCUCCGUCUCGAACGCGAGGUCGACGUCCGGCGUGCCUUCCGUCGGGGCGUCGGGGGCGUCGAUUCGCUCGACGGCCGACGAAGCGCGGCCUCCCGUCUGGCCUUGACGGCUCCGCCUCCUCCUCCGUUGGCGGGGGAGAGAACGGAGCGAGCCCGAAUAUUGCUCUUCCACCACGCGGGGAAGACGUCGUCGAUUCCGCCGCCGGCGGGCGGGUUGUCGGCCGCCAUUGUCGUAGUCGCGCGGCGGUGGAAGAAGUGUCAUGUCGUAGCUGCCGUCGAAGGACAUGAACUCGAGAGUCCCGAAACGAAGCACCGUCCCGGGCCGGAGAGGUUGCUGGAGACUGCCCAUCUGGAGCUUGACGGGGAGCUGUUCGUCAGCACGCAGCCGUGCCCCUACCUGGCGCGCCAACUGUCGGCGUUUCGAGACAGGGGGGUCCCUAAGCCGACGAGUGAGUGUGCUGCGUGCCCCAGCCCAGAUGGGUCGAGCGCGUGGGCGAGCGCGAAGGGGGGAGAGGCGAGGUGGCCGGAGCCGAGCGUGAGAGAGGUGGAAGUCCCGCGGCCUUCGUGUUCGUCCCGCGCCCAGGUCAGGUGCGCUUGCAGUAGGGGGGUUACAAGCGUCCACGCGGGUGAGGGAAGCGAGCGGCCCCAAGAGAGCGCCUGUCCCGUCCUCGGUCCCGCGCGGCCAACCUUCUCUAAGAAGGCCCUGGUCCUCCCUUUUAUAGUCGUAAGGAGAGGAUCCAGGUGUACAAUGGGGGGUGUAGCAGAGUGCUACGUGUCUAGCGGAGGGAGAGCUAGCGCCCUAGGUACAUGCCAAUGUGGCAGCCGGAGAGAUCUAGGCACCCUGCUGGCGUGAUGUCGUGGCUGUCGGAGGUGCGGCGGAGCCUGGUGGAGGGACAGCUGUUGGAGCGGUCGAAUCCCUGCUGACGUCGUCCUGCUUUCGUAAGAGAGCUGGGGGCCGCCGUCGUCAUAGAGCUUGUGGAGCGCCAUCAUUGCCCUCCGGCGGAGCGGGCCGGAUGGGACGCCGGUCUUGUUCUUCGUGACCCGAGUCGAUUCGGGGUAGGAUGAUGAUGGCGCUUCCUGUCGACGUGGCGGUCUGUGCCCUAGGCAGGGCGACGUGGGGGUUCCUCCGAAGCCGAGGUUGAGUCUGCCUUCCGUUGCCGUGGCCGAGCCCGAGCCAUGGGGUCGGGCGAGGCGGAAGUCGUUCGGCCGAGGCCAGGGCGGAGUCCGAGCCCUGGGGUCGGGCGAGGCGGAAGUCGUUCGGCCGAGGCCAGGGCGGAGUCCGAGCCCUGGGGUCGGGCGAGGCGGAAGUCGUUCGGCCGAGGCCAGGGCGGAGUCCGAGCCCUGGGGUCGGGCGAGGCGGAAGUUGUUCGGCCGAGGCCAGGGCGGAGUCCGAGCCCUGGGGUCGGGCGAGGCGGAGUUUCGUCGUCUUCCGGGUCUUAGCCCGAGUCCGAGCCCUGGGGUCGGGCGAAGCGGAGUUUCGUCGUCUUCCGGGUCUUAGCCCGAGUCCGAGCCCUGGGGUCGGGCGGAGCGGAGUUUCGUCGUCUUCCGGGUCUUAGCCCGAGUCCGAGCCCUGGGGUCGGGCGGAGCGGAGUUCGCCGUCUUCCGGGUCUUAGCCCGAGUCCGAGCCCUGGGGUCGGGCGGAGCGGAGUUUCGUCGUCUUCCGGGUCUUAGCCCGAGUCCGAGCCCUGGGGUCGGGCGGGGCGGAGUUCGCCGUCUUCCGGGUCUUAGCCCGAGUCCGAGCCCUGGGGUCGGGCGGGGCGGAGUUCGCCGUGGCGCCUUUGGCAAGGCCUACUGCCUGUCAGACUCACUCUGUCGAGUGGCACUGCAGUCGGAGUGGCGCAGGCGGCGCUGUCCUUCUGUCAGACUGGCCAGUGGAGCGGUAGAGUGACGGCGGUCACCUCGGCUCUGCCGGGGGCGCGUGUCAGGAUAGAGGUGUCAGGCCACCUUUGCGUUAAAUGCCCCUGCAAUUUGGUCAGUCGGUGUGGUGAUUUAGUCAAGGUUGCUUCUGAGCGAAGCCAAGGCCUUGGGCGAGCCGGUGAUGUGUCCGCCAUAAAAAGGGGGCCUCGGGCGAGACGGAAGUCUCUCGAGGUCGGCUGCCUUUGGCCGAGGCUAGGCUCGGGUGAAGCGUGAUCGAGUCACUCGUGUGGACUGAUCCCUGACUUAAUCGUACCCAUCAGGCCUUUGCAGCUUUAUGCUGAUGGGGGUUACCAGCUGAGAAUUAGGCGCCUUGAGGGUACCCCUAAUUAUGGUCCCCGACAAGGUACGCUAACAAAUGGUAACGGAGCUCAGGCCCGCCUGUUUAGGGGAUGGAAUGUCACGAACUAUGUGUAGCCUGGGUUAGUACCACCUCUCUUGCGGGAGUGGGCCGUGGUCGGCUUAUAAGGGCGUGCUUCAUUCCUCUCUCAACCCGGGUUUUGAGAUGUGAGUGUGGAGCUCGCUGCUGAAGGCCGACCCACGAGCGCAUGAACGCCCGAACGCAUGUCGAGUGUGGGUUUUUCGGUGGACUGGUCCAGGUACGCUAACAAAUGGUAACAUAGCUCAGGCCCGCCUGUUUAGGGGAUGCAAUGUCACGAACUAUGUGUAGCCUGGGUUAGUACCACCUCGCUUGCGGGAGGGGGCCGUGGCCGGCUUAUAAGGGCGAGCUAAUUCCUCUCUCAACCCGGGUUUUGAGAUGUGAGUGUGGAGCUCGCUGCUGAAGGCCGACCCACGAGCGCAUAAACGCCUGAGACUGGCUCAGGUACGCUAACAAAUGGUAACGGAGCUCAGGCCCGCCUGUUUAGGGGAUGGAAUGUCACGAACUAUGUGUAGCCUGGGUUAGUACCACCUCGCUUGCGGGAGGGGGCCGUGGUCGGCUUAUAAGGGCGAGCUUCAUUCCUCUCUCAACCCGGGUUUUGAGAUGUGAGUGUGGAGCUCGCUGCUGAAGGCCGACCCACGAGCGCAUGAACGCCCGAACGCAUGUCGAGUGUGGGUUUUUCGGUGGACUGGUCCAGGUACGCUAAUGUCGGGGACCAUAAUUAGGGGUACCCUCAAGGCGCCUAAUUCUCAGCUGGUAACCCCCAUCAGCAUAAAGCUGCAAAGGCCUGAUGGGCACGAUUAAGUCAGGGAUCAGUCCACACGAGUGACUCGAUCACGCUUCACCCGAGCCUAGCCUCGGCCAAAGGCAGCCGACCUCGAGAGACUUCCGUCUCGCCCGAGGCCCCCUUUUUAUGGCGGACACAUCACCGGCUCGCCCAAGGCCUUGGCUUCGCUCAGAAGCAACCUUGACUAAAUCACCACACCGACUGACCAAAUUGCAGGGGCAUUUAACGCAAAGGUGGCCUGACACCUCUAUCCUGACACGCGCCCCCGGCAGAGCCGAGGUGACCGCUGUCACUCUACCGCUCCACUGGCCAGUCUGACAGAAGGACAGCGCCGCCUGCGCCACUCCGACUGCAGUGCCACUCGACAGAGUGAGUCUGACAGGCAGUAGGCCUUGCCAAAGGCGCCACGGCGAACUCCGCCCCGCCCGACCCCAGGGCUCGGACUCGGGCUAAGACCCGGAAGACGGCGAACUCCGCCCCGCCCGACCCCAGGGCUUGGACUCGGGCUAAGACCCGGAAGACGGCGAACUCCGCCCCGCCCGACCCCAGGGCUCGGACUCGGGCUAAGACCCGGAAGACGGCGAACUCCGCUCCGCCCGACCCCAGGGCUCGGACUCGGGCUAAGACCCGGAAGACGACGAAACUCCGCUUCGCCCGACCCCAGGGCUCGGACUCGGGCUAAGACCCGGAAGACGACGAAACUCCGCCUCGCCCGACCCCAGGGCUCGGACUCCGCCCUGGCCUCGGCCGAACAACUUCCGCCUCGCCCGACCCCAGGGCUCGGACUCCGCCCUGGCCUCGGCCGAACGACUUCCGCCUCGCCCGACCCCAGGGCUCGGGCUCGGCCACGGCAACGGAAGGCAGACUCAACCUCGGCUUCGGAGGAACCCCCACGUCGCCCUGCCUAGGGCACAGACCGCCACGUCGACAGGAAGCGCCAUCAUCAUCCUACCCCGAAUCGACUCGGGUCACGGAGAACAAGACCGGCGUCCCAUCCGGCCAGCUCCGCCGGAGGGCAAUGAUGGCGCUCCACAAGCUCUAUGACGACGGCGGCCCCCAGCUCUCUUACGGAAGCAGGACGACGUCAGCAGGGAUUCGACCGCUCCAACAGCUGUCCCUCCACCAGGCUCCGCCGCACCUCCGACAGCCACGACAUCACGCCAGCAGGGUGCCCAGAUCUCUCCGGCUGCCACAUUGGCAUGUACUUAGGGCGCUAGCUCCCCCUCCGCUAGACACGUAGCACUCUGCUACACCCCCCAUUGUACACCUGGAUCCUCUCCUUACGACUAUAAAAGGGAGGACCAGGGCCUUCUUAGAGAAGGUUGGUCGCGCGGGACCGAGGACGGGACAGGCGCUCUCUUGGGGCCGCUCGCUUCCCUCACCCGCGUGGACGCUUGUAACCCCCCUACUGCAAGCGCACCUGACCUGGGCGCGGGACGAACACGAAGGCCGCGGGACUUCCACCUCUCUCACGCUCGGCUCCGGCCACCUCGCCUCUCCCCCCUUCGCGCUCGCCCACGCGCUCGACCCAUCUGGGCUGGGGCACGCAGGACACUCACUCGUCGGCUUAGGGACCCCGCUGUCUCGAAACGCCGACAGCUAACAAAUGGUAACGGAGCUCAGGCCCGCCUGUUUAGGGGAUGGAAUGUCACGAACUAUGUGUAGCCUGGGUUAGUACCACCUCGCUUGCGGGAGGGGGGCGUGGCCGGCUUAUAAGGGCGAGCUUCAUUCCUCUCUCAACCCGGGUUUUGAGAUGUGAGUGUGGAGCUCGCUGCUGAAGGCCGAUCCACGAGCGCAUAAACGCCUGAACGCAUGUCGAGCGUGGGUUUUUCGGCAGACUGGCCCAGGUACGCUGACAGUGUCCUGGCGAGGCCGAGGCCGCAGCGUGGAUGGCGGGGCGUCGCCAUGGCACAGGCUCGCCGCUACCGCCGCUGUCGGUGCCAAUGAAGCGCAGGAGCCCGUUCCGGCGAGGUUGAGGGCCGCCGCCGGCGUAGGUGCUGAUAAAGCACGGGAGUAGGAAGCUAGGUACGAUAGGGGUCAUUGUGGCAAUGUUGCAAACAUUUGGUGCGUGUUCUGGGAUGCAAGGGAUGGUGAGGGGUGAGCUCAAAGGGCGGCCGUGCAAAUGAAGCAAAUGGGUCAAUGGGAUUGUUGUAGUUGGGACCUUGGGUCUUGGGAGCAGCUGACAAGAAGGCGGUGCGAGGGAAAGAAGAUGAACAAAUGAAAGCUUUCACUUCCAGCACCAGGGCGCUGGACCGCUGCGCGCUGGCGAACAAAAGGAAAGAGGAAGAAGCAGUGCGGCACCGUGGCGGUGGAGGAUCCAUUGCCGACGAGGUAGAGCCGGGAGCGAAACACAUUGUUCUUCAACAGCAGCAGCAGCUCAGGGGCACCUUCGUCCUCUGUGGGUAUGUCCACGAGCAGUUACCAUUGAUGGCUGUCGAGAGCUGUUAAACUUGCGAGGUCCUCGGCCCCUCACCCCCUCCACGACUCCAUCAGGCACUCUCACUCGUCGUCGCCGUCCAGCCCACAGGCCACAUACCUCCGCUAGUCUGUCUGCAUUGCACUCGUCGGCUGGGUGCCCCUAUGCCCUCCACGGCUCCGCCCCGCCCAAAGGCCUCCGCCGAUGUCGCAACGAGCGACGGUCUUCACCUGCAGCCUACACGGCUGCGCCCGCCACUGGUCGCCCGCACAUGCCCACCUCCGCUUGGCGGCAGCUGGACUCUGCCCGUCCACCUUUCGUCCUCCACCUUCUUUGCGGCUGGGAAGGAGGGAACUGGGCAAGCUAACUCGUCGUGAGUUGCAAUAGAGAACCGAGAGUAGGUCUGGACAUAAAAAACGAAAACCAAACUCCGGAACCGAAAAAACCGGAACUAAUCAAACCAUAGUAUUUUUCGGUUAUCAUUUUUCAGAAAACCGAUAUUUAGUUUGGUUUUCGGAUUCUAGCUCAGUUUAAACUAAAAAAUCGAGCUUUCAACAUACCAGCUAAGGUUUCCCUUUUUGGCCCAAGUGUACACCUCCAUUCCGCUUCUGCGCGUGGCCUGCUCUUCUCAAUCGCACCAGUCGCCAGUGCCUCACGCUGCCAGGGCCUAGUGCCAGUCACUGAAACUCAACUGUGCUGUGCUGCCUGUGCAUGCCAAAGCGACUAAUGAAUUCCCUCACGGUCAUGGCCCAUGUCGCCAUGCGAAAGCGCACACGCUCCCUCAGCUCAGCGCAAGUCGCCAUUAGCUGCCUUGUUGGGCGCUGCAGUAGAUGGUCAUGACGCGACGGCUGGUCGGGAUGGGGAGGAGCGAUGCCACUUCAUCAACUUACUAGGUGAGUGUCCAUGCGUUGCAACGGAACCGUAUAAUAACACGAUAACUUAUUUACAUAUGUGUUGUAUUGUUAUAGGUAUAUGGCCGUGUGUUGCGACAGAAGUAAAAAGUUUGUAUCAAACAUUGAUAAGGAUGAAUCUCCCAUGACAAUGCCACAAAACAAAAGGUUCUCGAUGUAAAGACCAACUUUGAAACCAAUUAAAUUGAGUCAUUGUGUGUUAUACUUAUACUCUGUUCUAUGUAUGAGUAUCUCUCGAGCUUGAAGUAGAAUAUAGCUGUGGGCAUGAUUGCUUCUACGUUAGUUAGUUUUCAGUUUGAAGUAGAAUAUAAUUGUGGGCAUGAUUGGUUGAUGUACAUAUAUUGCAGCACAUCUCUGCCAAAACAUGCCCCAGUUUGUUUGCCACGCCCUAGGGCACCGUUUGACAAAGGCCCUAGGGCAGCCUAAACUUCAACUACCACGUUGUCAAGAAAUGGAACUGAGCGGGAACGUGGUCCGGAAGCUGGUGAAGAGGGCCAUGACGACGCAGACCAGCAUGAUGAUGAGCACCUCCGACGAGAAGUCCCACGUCAGGUUCCUGAAGUAGAUGAGCGCCAGGAACACGCCGAGGCACAGCGUGUUGUUCAUCAUCACGCAGCCGUACACCUGCCCCAACAAUCAUUAGAAGAAAGCCCGUUGCAGGCGUACGCUAGUGUUUUGUCAGCGGGGCAACAUUAACUAACUACCCAGGCGCAUACCUCGGAGAAGGUGAGGGAGCAGGUCCUCUGCUUCUUCCUGCUGGCAAAGAUGAUGGCGGAGACGGCCUCGCUGGAGUUGGUGGCGAGCGGGAGGGCGAUGAAGGAGAUGAAGAAGGACGGGAUGCGCGUGGCGUUGGAGAAGUCGUGGACGACGUCCACAAGCGGGUCGGAGAACGCGGCCGCGGCGGCGGAGCCCAGCAGCAGCAGCGCCACGGCCUUGGCUAUGCACCACCUGGGGUUCUCCACGCUCUCCACCGCCUCGUCGGACCUAUCGACCAGCUCGUCGUGCUCCUGCCUCGUCCUCUGCACAGUCCCAUUCCAUUCCAUUCAGUCAGUGCAUAGUUCCUAAUAACCCACUGGAGGCUGUCCUCUCCUGUACCUCGUGGUACUCGUGGAUGAACUUGCUGGAGAAGGCGCCGCCCACGGGCACGCUACGCCUGGCCUCGUCCAGCCACUUCCCCAUCCCCUGCACGAACUCCUCCUCCUCGACGACGUCGUUGCGGGACGUGUCGAAGUCGUCCAUGACCUUGUCCACCGCGUCCGUCCUGUCGAAGUCGACCUCCUCGAAGUUGAUGCCGACAAUGAGGGCGUGGAGCUCGGCGCGGGACAGGGACCGGCUCUCGUCCAUGACGAUCUUGCGGAACAGCCUGCACGAUCGAAAACAUUGUGCUAAGCUCCUAGCUAGGGGCACGCAGCAGGCAGCAGUUGAGAGAGGGAAGGAUCGCACUUUCUGAUGACUUGUUCAUUGGGCGUGCCGUCGUCGUUCAGCAGGCGGCCGAGCGUCUGCAUCUAGGCGUGCCUCAGUAUUCCGGAGAUCACGUGCUUGUGCUUCGCGUACACGAGCUUCCUCCUCUGAAUCCAAGGCUGGAAAACCUGGUGCAGGGAUUUCAGAGGAUCCAGUUUCACCGUCUUAAAGUUUUUUUACCCUUAACAAUCUAGUAGAGUCGUCGCUCCCUGUCAGAAACGUAUAUAUCUCGUUUACUUGGUACAGGCAGUAGGCAAGCACGAGCGCGAACGACACAACAAGGGCCAGCAGCAUGGUGAGGCGCUGCCCGUGGUGCGUCUUCAACAUCUUGGGGAACUGAGCGAUGAUGAAGGGGAUGACAAAUAGCCCCAUGAUCCGUGCCGCGUAGCUGGUCUGCACGUCGGUCGUAACACCAGUGCCUGCCACCGAUCUUGGCAGUCAGUAAAAAAGAACGCAAUUGUUCAUAAUUACCAGCUUUAGCAUCCUCUCUUUGGAAAUGGAGAGCUGAAACCUUUGUUGUCAGCGUCCUACUUCGAAAUCACAUGAUAAACAACCAACGGAUAUAGAGAUGAAGCAAUGUACCAGUCAAGCUGAAGCCCUUGGUGUCUGUGACAUCUACUGCCUCAUGGCCUGGCGAGGUCACACUUGCCAACGACGACACAGGUUCCCCAGAGCAGGGUGAGGAGGAAGACGGUGGAACCGGCGAGCAGCCCCAUCCCGAUCAGCACCUGGCUCUACGCCUCCUCUUUGCUCCCGGAGAGGUCGGACACUGCAACACGUGAUCAACAGACAGAUGAGGACAAACCAUGAUAAUGAUCUGAUCAGGGAUCCGGUCGUUGUUGAACAAGGCAACAAGGUACACUGGCUGCGAUACUUGGAUCGCAGAUCGCAGCAGCGAGAUCUGAUCUGCUGUGCUUAGUUCUGAUCCACUGUGUUAGUACUGUGACAACGUCAGAAUCUGCACAUACACAUAACCUUCCCCAUACUACUGUUUCGCAGCACAAGAAGCUUUAUGGUUUGGUAAAUAAACGUGUACUGCUUGCUGUAGUAAUUUUUUUUAAAAAUGGACAAUUAUGCAAAGGCACGUAGAAGUGAAAGGGAAAAAGUCAAAAGGCUUUGCUGGAUUGGAUCUUGCUUUCAGCCUUUCAGAAAGCUAAAAACUAACCAACUGACGAAUUUCAGAAAACAAACAGGGUAAGAGAGAAAAAAUGUAGAAUAGCCAAAAAAAGCUUAUACCCUGGUGAUGUGCCCAUGCGUUGCUUAGUGAUGGUGAUGAAAUGCGUCCUUGGGAGAGACAACUCUUGGUUUCAACUGCCUCAUUCAAAUCCAACAGUUGUUUUCAAUGAAACCUUGUUAGCAAUGAAGUUUUGAAAGUAAUAUAAUGAAAGAACGAAAUUGAUUCUUUACACAAAAAAUGCAAUAGAAGAACAACUAGCAGAAAUAUAGCAUGUUUUCACGACAAAUACACCCUUUUCACUUUUAUUAUAGGAUAAAAAACCCUGGCACCUAAAAAGACCGAUGAAAUUCCAAGCAGCGGCUCAAUGUAGGAUCCAACAUUUGUUUCCUGACAAUGAACUAACCAAUUUUGAUGCACAAUUUAUACCAGCACAUGUAAAUCAAGAUGAAAUUGUUAAUGAGAGGCACUAAGUUAUCAAGAUGAACUGGACCGAUCGACUAAUCCCACCGCUCAGAUCCCUCGACGCGCCCAGAUCAAUCAAACCAAGCAGCGGCUCAGGAACCGGAGCACUCGAAAAACAAAAGCGCGGGGUGAAUGGAGAUGGAGGCAUGGAGCAGACAGACGUACCAGUGGAUGCGUCGCUGGGUACGGCCCCCUCGCGUAGCUGCCGUCGCUGAGGCCCACGUCCACCCUGCGCGCAGCCGCACAGCACAGUCAAUCCAGAUCCAACAUAAAAUACAAAACCUGAGGUGAGGAGGUCUUGAGCACAUCGACACGCUGAACCGGGACACAGGCAAACGCUAGAACUUCCGAUUUCUAAUAAAGUUGGGAUGAGCCUUUGAUCUAAACAGAAAGAAAAAAGAGGCAAAACCAAAUUUACGGCCCCUGGAAGACUCGGCAAAGCAAAAUGUCGAACCUCGACGGUGGGGUUGCCGCGGCUGAUGAAGAUCUGCCUUGCCUUCACCCACGUGAUCGUGACCGCCAUCUCCUCUCAAAUGUUAAGCCAAAAGCUAGAUAGUAACAUUUAGUCAACUCAAAUUUAGAGCAUAUCCUUCAAAUAAGUUACCAAAUCAAUUAUCACAAAUAAAAGGGAGGAGGAUACAUGUUAAUUUCUAUUAUAUGAGUUAACCAUGACCACUGGAUGCAUGAAUGACUAUGAUGCAUGCAAUUGCAUGGCAAAUACAGCUAGUAUUAUACCCUUAGACUGAAAUGGAAAAAUUGGCUGGUUAACUAACCUUAAGAACACCCUUGCCAAGAUAAUCAGAUCCUCCAUCCCUCAACUCCAAGGCCUCAUAUAUUCCUGAGAGAUCAAUUGUUCAAAGAUAUAGUGUCAAAAUUUUCUAUUCAUAGAUGUCGAGCGUAUGGAAUUUGAGGCAACUACAGAAGGCGGCAUUUUUCAAAAAGUAAAGGUGUCUGGACCACAGACUGAAAUAUCACAAAAAGACAUUCCAAACGAAAUAGUGAAUCAAACUGCACAAUAGCACAAGCCAUUUCUAAGUCAUUUUAGAAGUUAAUAGAAACCGACUGAUCCAAUUGAACUCAGUGGAGGUAGUUAUCGCAACGCGCGGUUCUCCGUAUCUGCAACGUACAAGAUAUUCCUUUUGGAAUUGUAAGAAAGACCCUGUAAUAGGUGGCAAGGAAUAGUUGUAUGACUUUACAUGCAUGACAAGAGAAAGUCCAGAUCAUGAAGAUUUAAAUAAUUUUGUCUCAAGAAAGAUAGGCAUAAGAAAAAGAACAUUAGUUCAUAACUUCAGAGCAUGCAGACUCAGGACAUGACAACACACAACACACUCAUUCAAUUUAGCAGCAAUUGCAUAUGGAUGACUACUAUUGCCAAGUUAUCUCAAACGUUAAGAGCUCAUAGCAUGUUUUUGUAAGAGCUAUUAUUAUUGCAUGGAAAUAAUAGUUGUUUCUUCCCUUGAGGGUGGUCAAAUAGGGCAGCAUCAAAUUGGCCAUUAAACAAUCCUUCCUCAGAACUCCCAACUUGACAUAUGAACUGCCCUUCCAAGUUGGUCACCACUUUAAUCACAGAAGAGAGAAGUAAGGCUUUAGUAGUAAAAAGAACAAAAAUCAAUUUUCUAAGAUAAGCAAACAGUCUAACUGAUGUGCCAUAUUGAUUCGAUUGAACUUGAGGUCACCAGUGUACUUUGCUUUCCCCCAAUUUUUCAGCGCUAAUCCCUACUAUGAACAUCUAGCUACAUGCAAUCCGGCAUCAAACACAUGAAUUUUGGAACAACGAUGUACAUACCUGCAUCACAUGGCGCUCGCUCUAACCUUUAGAUCGGUUGCAGGCAAACUCUCGUCAUCCUAUCCUCCAAACAUAUAACAACACAGGAAAAAGAAGGGGACAAAAACAAGAAUCAAUUUGUUACCAUGCGUUAUCCCUAGGUGUGGUGUCUUGGACGUAAUCAUCUACUUCCAUGUUAAUUAACCUCUUCUCUAGCCCUCCUCUUCUUUUAGCUUCUUUAGAGGCAUCUUUUUUAGCCUGCAACAUAGUUCCAGAUCUCACGUGCCCAACCAAACUUGCAAAUUGAGUCACCAAAAUCGAGAUGGGCACAAGAUCUGAGGAACAUAAGAAGCAGCACGAAGGGAGAGAAGAAAUGAACCAAGAGCAAAAAGGCACACCUCCUUCCUAACAAGGUUCCAGAUCCUUCAGAUCAUGCUCUCCACCUACGUGUUCUUCUCCUGCGAGCUUCGCAUCGCAUUGACCUGCGCGCACCACAAGCAGAUCGAUCAGCACAUACCGCGGUUCACCAGCGAAGAAGGACGUAAGUGAGAAGCAGCACCAGGGCUCUUGUCCAUGGCCGUCGCCGCCGCUACGGAUCCUUGAAACUCGUCGAGAGCCGAGAUCCACACUGGGAGAAGCAGGUAAGAAGAAGAAUCAGUCAGAUUUACCUGGCUACCGACGACACGCGAUGAUCGACCAGCUCCAGAUCCGCGACGCGCCGCCACCCUGCGUGCCCGGAGAUGGAGCUGUGCCCACGCGAUGCCCACCCAUUUCGCGUAGGGAGGAGGCGGAGCUAGAGGUGGGCAGCGGUUGUAGAGAAGGUGGAGGAGAGCGAUAGUGUGGGGCUUGAGGUGGUCGAGCACGUCGGCUAGGGUUUCGUCGGAGGCCGCCGACGCUUCCAUCUGCGUCUAAAUCAGUUGCGGCUAGGCGACGGAAUAGUUCGUCGUAGCCAUACCUCGAGGGGCGCGUGGGCUUGAAGCUUCGUCGCUGCCUCAAGAUCUACACUAGGGGCGGCGCUGCGCUCACCGCCACGGCCGAGGAAGAGGCGGAGGCGAUGGCGAAUCCCCCGGGGCGGCGCGUGCUCGAGCGUGUGGGCCAGGGGGGUGCUCGAGCGUGUGGGCCGGGGAAUUGCGCUGGAUUGCGUGAUGCGGAGCAGGGUGCAGCCGCGAGCGGGACGAGAUGCAGGAGUGAUGCGCGGGCAGUAGAACACUCUGGGGUGUGGACGCCUACAUUAGGUUUAUAAUUAGUGUAUAUAUGUAUAUAUAUUAAUAUAUAUAUAUGUGAUAACUAUUAAGUUAGCAGUGUAGACCGCCCCCGCCCGCCCGCAAACCCCGCCGCGCUUCACGCCGCCAUGUCCCCGCGAAGCCCGCCCCUGCGCCCACCUCAUCCCCAUUAUUUGGCAGCGCCGCCGGCACGUACCGACGUACGCCCCCUGCCCUGCUUGUGAUGCCCUCCCCCACUCCGAGAGCACCGCCCAGGAACCACCCCACCGCCGCGGUGACACCUGAUCAAAUCUCGUGGAGCCCUCUAGCAGAUCGCGCGCAAAAUAGGAAGGAAGGGGAGGACUAACUCUAAUCUAGCGCUGCAGGCUACUCGUGUCCACGGAUCUGCGCCCUCUGAUACUGUUGGUCGUCGUGGAGCUGUUGUGCCACAAUGGGAGCGUCGUAGCAGCCCCAGGCGCUCCACAGGCCGGCGCCGCCCUCCGACCGCGACCGCCCGGGUACCAGCGGCCUCACUGCCGAGGAGACUGCCGCGUGGUUCCCGGACACCCUCGACGACCCGCUGGAGAAGGACCUGGAGAGCUACGCCUUGCCGAGCAACGGCCGUGCGAUCAGAGGUGCGCACCUGGGCAUGUCGCUUGAUGUCAUGUUGAUUGAGAUUGAUGAGAGGUUCAACGCCCUGAAGCUGCUCAUGGGCUCCGUGUUCCGGUAGGCCAAGGAGAUGCUUGGUUCUAGGGAUGAAAACGGUCGGAAACGGUAUUUAUUCGGUAAUCAGUUUUUUAGUCGUCUUUCUUUGAUUGCGAAUAAAUAAGAUAUAUAAUCUACAAUACAAAUUUGUAUUCUUGUUUUUAACGUCCAGCUUGUAAAGAUUCAUGAAAGGUAAACCUCAAAUUCAUUCUAUAUUUUCUUAAAUAAUAGAUAUAAACUUCGGUAUGGAUUCGGAAAUAAAUUCGGUAAUUUUUUCAACGUUUCGUGUUGUAGGGAGCAAAUAAUACAUAAAAUAAUUUGUGUAAUAUUUUAUUCAUAUGUGUACUAAUGUGCUUGAUAACAUAAGAAAAGAUCAAAAUUAAAUUUUAUAUAUAUCUAUUUUAAAAUAUUAAAUUUGUUCUAACAGUUCGGAUUACCGUUUUCAUCCCUACUUGGUUCGGUCAACUCGUCGGUGUCUGAUCAGCAGUCGGAGAAUGAGCUGCAGCUGGAAGUGUUCGGUGCCAUCAUCGGAGAGUGCGCCAAUGGCCUGCAGGAGGAGCUAGAGAGGAAUCUGUACGCGCAAAUGAGCAUCACAAACACCAUGAGCAGGAACUGGAAGGAAGCCAUAACUCAGUUUGCCGCCAUGCGCGAAGACCUUGGCGCUCUUUGUAAGCUACUACUGCCUUUAGCACCAGAAGCUCAUAUUUCUAACGGCAAGAAUGAAAGUCCAGGCAGCAAGAGUAACAGAUGGAAGUACAAUUUCUUUGGAAAGAAAUCCAGAGAUGAUCGUUCUCCACGCGCUGAGGACAACAAGAGUUUCAGGAAGCAAAAAUCAUUUGGUGCAAAGGAUGUCAUCUCAGAAAAGUCUGACUUUCACCAUCUCAAUGGUAUGACUAGAGAGCAAGUGAUAACCUACUUUAAGUCUGAGAUCAGCAAAAUGAAAAGGAUGCACAAAUCAGCUUUGCAAGAGAAGACCGAAGAACUGUUCAGGCUCAAACGAGAGAAGGGGUCACAUUCUCUCAAGAAUGACAUCGAAUUUGAACCUUUGAGAAAGAAAAUUCCAGAGCUUGUAUUGAGAAUGGACCAAAUCAUUUCCAAGAAUAUAAAGGUACCUGCAAUCUGCAUGACCCAUGAUGAACUCGAUGAAAGAUGCAGAUUGAUGAGCAGAAUCGAUGCUUUGUUCUAUGAAAAUCAGCAUUUUCGAGGGUUGCUUGCAGACAGGAUGAAGGACAUUAAGGCAUUAUCAUCCCGGCUAUCUGAAGCCAGUAUAGAACUGUCAAUGCAGAUGCUGUCGGAAGAAGAGCUCCUGAGACAAAUUGAUAAAGUUAGAGAAGACUGUGAGGACCUCAGAAUUGAAUGUGAUAUUAGAGAAGGAAUGUACCAAACUGUUACAAAACAUUUGCUUGAUGACUAUAAGGACAAUAUGGAUGGUGCUGCUCUAAAUCUUAGUGCAAAAUUGUCUUCACUUGAAUCUGCAAUAUCUGAAAAGGAUGAGGCAUUAUGCCUAUAUAACGAAGAAAAUCACAGGUUAAAGGAGAAGUUAGCUGAGUUAGAAAAGGAAUGAUUGAUCCACAGUGACCAGGAAGUUCCAGAAGCCAUAAAACAAGAUAGCACAGAAAUUGUUCUGCGUGACAUUGAGGUUGAGCCUUGCAUGUCACCGAGAAGAUCAAAUGCGGACGAUUCAAGGUAUGACGAACUUGUGAAACUAGACUCAAGCUUAGAGCAAACGUCAUGUGUCCUCAAAGAAAUGAACAACAAAAAUAUGGAUCGCAGUAGUAGCCUCAGUAGGAAUGAGCAAGAGAAGCAGCUGGAGUGCAUUUUAGUAUCUAUCAUGAAACUAUCAAAAAUAUGUCAGCGGAAAGAACCGAGAACAGGUUUGUUUGUGUUCAUCUUCAUUACAUUUUGCUUCCCAGGCAUUUUUAUUUCUUUUUUUUUCAAAAACACGAUUCCAAUGUCGUGCAUUGGCCGUUUCAGGUCAGAGGAACUUAGCGAUCACUGCAACCACAUGGUCAGACAAGCCAUGGUACUAACAAAGAUAGGGCUUUGGUAUAAACAAAUGAUUGAAGCGAGGCGUUCUGAGCUCCAAAAGGCUGAAGCCAAGGUAGUUCUAGAAUUGAAUUUUUGUUUUGACUACAAGAACAGCACAUGAUAUAUGAUUAUAUAAAUCGAUCAUGUAGGAACUCUGAAAAGUUUUCUAGGUGGCCAGGUUAUGGUAUUGGGCGAUAAGAUCACCACAUAGUUGAGCCUUCUCCGAAAGAUAUAUUUAGCUCUCGAUCAUUACUCUCCUACCUUGCAGCAGCAUCCUGGUGUAAGUAUCUCAGCUGGAGAUAGCAUGCAUGCUUUGCGUCCAUCCAUGUAUUUUGCAAUGGUCCAGUAUAGUUAAUGUUUAGAACAUCACAAAAGUUAGCAUGGUUUCCUUUGUAUGCAGCUGCUAGACGCUUUCAUGAAGACGUGCAAGCUUGUUGCAGAUCUGAGAAGUAAACAGAACGAAGGCGAUGCAACAUGAACGAGGAGGCGGUAUGGUGGGAUCUCCCUUGGUAUAGCUAAUGUUUCUCAUGUGCUUAUCCGUGUUCCACGCCUGCAGCUGCAGACCAAGUGAAGGAUCCUAUUGAACUGAGGUUUUAGAAUUUCCAGAUCCUGACCUGCAGUAUAUCUUAGUGCCAAGUGAACCAAUAGCUGCCUUGCUGAUCUUAUGCGAUGCAAGUGGUAGCUGUUUUUAUCUGCAAUGAUGACUAGAAAUCUGAAACUAUGUACAUAUGGCAUUGUGCUCACGUUGUCACGUGCUUGUUGGUUAGAGAAUAGGGUUGUUACUUGCUUAGUUAGCAGCCUAGGCCAUGGAAUAGAGAAAAUGUUAACUACAUUGUAAGCAUAAAAUUUAUUUAUCCCCACUCUGUGUUGAUGAGUAUCUUUCCUCCAUCUAGAUUGAUCAUAUUGCUACUCAUUGGACGCGAUCAUGGUCCACCCACUGUGAAAUGAACAUGUCGAAUGCUGGAGACAAAAAAAUAGAGCUGGGCUCCGCCGAAACGCAAGUAUUUCCUUUGGCUGGCCGCUUUGAACUGUACCUGGACGCCUGACUGCCUUUCUCGUCGUGGCCUUGAGCAUCCAGAGAGCUGCCUACUUUGUGACCAUGUCGAUGAAACAAUCCAGCAAGCAGCCGUCAUCCACGCGCAAAUCCUACAAGUCGUCGUCUUCCAUGAUGCGCGCACCCCCUACUCGACUGGGGUGGAGGUGAGGCGAGGACGAGGAGGCCUCACCACGGGGAUGCAGGAAGGCACCGAAUCCCUCGCAGGCGGUCUGCCGGGAUCGAACGACGCAGGCGAAGCCAUGGAGGUCGCGCUUACGUCGACCACGGAGGCAAAGAAGUGGAGGGUUUCCCGUCUCCUGAUCUCAUCCCAUGCCAUGAUUCAGCACCACCUCCCCAUCCUCCUAUGUCCUCGUAUAAAGCACGACAGCCCACUAUAGCGCUGCCGCCCAUGGCAGUUGCAGCACCAGCACACACCGAUAUCGCAGCUCCGUGUCGCGAAACCUACCCUACCGCCUCACGGUCGCCAAGUCAUGCGACUGCCGCGACGCCUCGCCCCCACCGCCUCCCUCCGCUGGCAACAAAUGUUGCCUAUGCCGGUUCCGCAACAACAACCUCCCACUCUAAUCAUUUUUGGAUCAGACUGCCUCUCCGCCAUCGAGCAUCAGCACGGUGAGUCCUCUGUCCGCCUCCCCCUGAUUGUUUUCCCACCUCCCCAUCUUUUUUGGCGUAGACUACCUCUCCGCCAUCGAGCAUCGAGUAUCAGGAUGGUGAGUCCACCACCUGCCUCCCCUUGAUCGUUGUUUUUGGCUCUAGCAAGCAGCUCGCCCUCUGAGGUCCUCAAUCAAACACUUGGUGGUCGACCGCUACUGUCCGUGCACAGGCUGUUCCGGCGCGUCGCGUGACAGAGUGACCACGAUGGGGCUCGUGAUUUCUACAUUGUGAACUAAUUCUUCAAUCCCGCUAGCUUUUAGUUGCAGAAAUUUAUGGAUACAAAAAAACAUCCUCUACAGCCUUGUACAUUUGGUUUUCUAUGCAUAUUUCUUCUUAAGGUUUGUAGCAUAGCCUACUAAUUGAUUGGAGCAGUUUCAGAAGCUUCUUUUAGGUAUAUAUUCUUAGCCUUUUUUGAGAAAAGUACCAUAGCCUAUUAAUAGUUGUUUAUCACUAUUUUCUUUUGUUCCAACUUUCCUUGAUAUGCCAUAUCUCCCUCCUAAUGCAUGUGGUCGCCUAGAUCUUGUUUCUUUCUUCGUUCCAUCUCAUUUUUCAUUAGUGAUUAGAACUACAAUCAUCAAAUGAUGGAUUUGACUAGACUUGUUCUACUUGUACUUUUCUGUGUGUAUUGCAGAACAUGGAGGUGCGGUUGAGAGGAGCUUGCAGAAUCUGUCAAGCGGUAGGGACCGAUGGAUGGGCUGGAGGCGCUAGCUGACAGCUUGUGUGUGCUAUAUAGUCGUCCGUUAGCUCCUUAUAUAUAUGUACAACACUAGCAACUCAACUUAAAUUCGCUGAAAGAUUGUAUUUAUAUGUGCAACCAUUAAAACAGUGUAUGCUAAUGUCCAAUUCUGUUGUAUUCUAUUUUUUAUAAACUUGCAAGCUAUUAUUUGUAUCAUGGCCAUUGUACACAUGUAUGCUUUUUUGUACGGUGCACUUGCAUCUGUCUCUAUUUCACUCUCUCACUCAUCUGCUUUUUUAUGCUUCUCUUUCGGAUAUACUAUUGAACACAUAGAUAACCAGACAUUUUAUCCAAUAUUUUGUAUUGCGUUGCAACGCACGGACACCUAACUAGAUGGGCUUCCGAGCAAACUUUCUCUAGACCCCUAAGAAAAAUAUAAGAUCCGAUCAGAUAUAUAUCGAUGUUCAUCCCAGCGUACUCCCGUUGCAACGCACGGGCACACAACUAGUAUAUAUAUGAAGGGAGGAAGGAAGUAGUAGUAACCAGAUACUCGAACCAAGUCAGGUAGGUACGAUGAUAUGGAUACAUACAUCAUACAUGCGGGUCCGGCCUGAAUCGCGGUCGUCGUUGCCCGCGGCCCGCCCGGCUGGGUGCAUGAACCUGGCGAGGAUCGAAUCGAGGCCGCCGGCAGCCCGGCACCUCCUGCAUGGAACUUGGCCAAGUUGCGCGAUACUUUUAUCCCUCCCAUGACGGCCGUCGUCGGGCGUCCGGGCGUGCGUACGGAAAAAACCGAAUGGUGGUGCCGCUUCGCCCCAGCCAAACCGUCCGGGCUGCUGCGUUGUAGUGCGCGCGCGGCGGGAGACCGACGGUCGGCUGGGGCGGCGGGUCGUCUCCGUCCAACACAGUCAGCCGUUACUACUGUAGUCUGUAGUACGUAUUAGCUUAGCUGCAAAUAGAAGAAAAGUUCAGGAUCGAAGACCAGCAGCGUAAAGAAGCACGAGAGGCUGCGUGCGCAAGGGAGGAACAAAGAAUAAUAAUCGGAGCGACGGCAUCGCGUGAUUCCGAUCCUACGCGAUGCUCGAUGCUACAGCUACACUGUCGACGGCCGGACCGAGCUCGAAAAAAGAGCAAAAUAAUGCCGCCAAAAUAAACGCUUUUUUUAUAUACAUCUCGACUAUUUGGUUAAUUGGUUCGCUCGCCGCAGCGGUUAUCGUCCAUCGCUACGUUUAGAUACAUGUGUUGGAACCGGACCGCCGACACAUGGCGUGUCCGUCGGGGCCGCCCGCACACACGGCGCGCCCACCCAGGCUGUCGGGCCGCGACACACGCGCCCGCACGUAUAGCAGCGGGCUUUAGGUCUCUUGGGCCAACACUCACCCUAAAAAGCUAGCCUGAUAGGGGUUGUCACCCUCAACCUUAUAAACCAUGCUUUCACACUCUCACCAGACAAUGUGGGACUAUUCCCAACAAUCUCCCGCUCACACAUUGUGAGCCGAGAUUUGUCUGAGAAUGCACUGGGCCAACCUGGCUCUGAUACCAAUUGUUGGAACCGGACCGCCGACACAUGGCGUGUCCGUCGGGGCCGCCCGCACACACGGCGCGCCCACCCAGGCUGUCGGGCCGCGACACACGCGCCCGCACGUAUAGCAGCGGGCUUUAGGUCUCUUGGGCCAACACUCACCCUAAAAAGCUAGCCUGAUAGGGGUUGUCACCCUCAACCUUAUAAACCAUGCUUUCACACUCUCACCGGACAAUGUGAGACUAUUCCCAACAACAUGUUAGUUACAAGAGUGCAUCCAUAGUCAGGUAUCUUGAACCAUGCCUCGACAAUUGCAUACAGACAGAUUCACUGAUUGCAUUUUUUGACGAAGACAACUUCCAACCACGUACUUGAUGAGAAAUGUCCAGAAAUCAUAUGACAAUCCACUGGUGUUCCAACUCAUGACCCCCUGCACUAAAGAAGCAAAUUUAAAAGUCCAAAGAUAUUUACUUAGUAGAAUUUAAGUGUCAGACUAUUUUUGUGAUUUCAAGAGCAUGGCUAAGUUCCAUGUUCCUGCAUAUAUAUAAUGCACCCAAAAGGGUUGGAAUACCAAAGAAAAAUGAAAGUUACCUAUCGGCCUCGAAACAAAAUAAUAGAAAACCUUGCUUCUUAAACCCCCCAAGUACUUAGAGACGUCCCGAGAAAAGAAGGCAAGAGAACUUGCCAUGGCCAAUCAUAAAGAUGCCCCAAAAGAAGAAGGGAAACUGGUUAAAACAUGGCACUAGAAAUGAAGAAAAAAGAAAGAAAUUCGAGAGCUAAACCUUUCUUUGAAUGAAAUAGCCACCCUAAAUAUGGGCACACACAAAGACGAUGGAAAGCUAACUAGCCCUCGUGUCGAAAACAAGUAAUGAAAUGCAAGAAGCACCAUGUAAUAAAAUGGCCAUAAAAUUCAUGUCCAUAUGACAAUGUAUAAAUAGGGCAAUAGCCAAUAUAGAUAUAUAUUUCACAAAGAUGGAUGCUUUGAUUAUUGAUCACAAUCCUAAGCUAGUGUCUCUCGUGAAAAGCAAGAAAAGACCAGAUUGGAAAGAAUCGAAAGAGAAAUAACCACAUAAUUAAAUUCUCUAGACAAAAGAGAAGUGUUUGGACCUAUAAGCCGCUCACCACCCCAAAGACAUCCGAUAGGUUAUAAGUGGGUAUUUGUCCCAAAAAAAGAAAUGAAAACGAUGAAAUUGUAAGAUACAAAGCAAAGCCAGUUCCUUAAGGUUUCACUCAACGCCUAGGAGUUGUUUAUGUAGAAGCCUAUUCUCUGGUCAUGGGAAGAAUACCUAGAGAUACUUGAUCUCAUUAGCAAUCAACUUAAAUUUAAGCACAAAAUUAAUGGAUGAUGUUACAACCUAUCUUUGUGAGAAUCUAGAUACCGACAUUUAUAUGAAAAUUCUAGAAGGGGUCCACGUACCAAACAAGGAUGAGAAAUAUAGAGCUAUAGUGUCAAACUAAGUAAAUCACUAUAUGAACUCAAACAAUUAGGAAGAAUGUGGUAUAAUUGUUUGAGUGACUUUCUAAGCAAGAAGGCUACACAAAUAACGAAGAUUUCCCUUGUAUCUUUAUACAAUGAUCCUCAAAUGGAUUCCGUAUAAUCUUGGCCUACAUCGAUGACUUAAACAUCAUUGGAACACAUGAAGAAAUUAAAGAAGUUUGCUCAUACUUAGAGUUUGAGUUUGAAAUAAAAAAUUUGUGGAAAACCAAAUUUUGUUUAGGUCUACAACUGAACAUUUUGAAAGAGGUAUACUAGUGCACCAAUCAACCCACACACAAAAAGUGUUGAAAGGUUUGGAUUUGAAAGGGCAUACCCUGCCAAGACCUAUAUGGUUGGAAGGCCAUUUCAAUAGACCAAGACCCAUAUAGAUAUAAAAAAGAGGAGGAAGUCUUAGGAGAUGAAUAUUCAUACAUAUGUGCAAUUACAACACCCAUGCAUCUUGCGAAUAGCACUAGAGCAAGCAUCGUGUUCGCCAUAAUUUACUAGCAAGAUAUAGUGCAGAACCUCUUAUAAGACAAUGGAAGCAUAUGAAGGACAUCUUCUGUUGUCUCUAAGGAAGCAAGGUUCUAGGCUUAUUCUAUCAGAAAAAACAAGAUUUGAACUUGGUUGGAUAUGUCGAUGUAGGUUAUUUAUUUGACUCACAUGCACACAAGUCACAGAUGGGGUAUAUUUUUCUCUAUGAAGGAACCUAGAGAUCAUCGAUAAAGACUUCAGAUGUAACUUCGACCAAUCACUCCAAAACUACCAUACUAUAUAAAAGCCUCCUGUGAAUGUGUAUGGCUUCGAAGAAUGACCAACCAUAUCCAGUCAUCGUGUGGUUUAAAUGUCAAACUAACCCCCACUAUUAUUUACGAAGAUAAUACAACUUAUGUUGCGGGUAUAGAUGAGCUUUGUGAAGAGCAAUCUUACGAAGCACAUGAGUUCCAAGUUCUUGUAUGCACAUGAAUUGUAUAAGAUGAAUGAGAUAAAAAUUUGCACACUAAGUCAUGUGAAAACUCACAGACUUGUUCACAAAAUUCCUUCACGUAUCCUCUUUUGAAAGAUGAGCCUAAGGACUUGGAAUGAUGAGGCUUAGAGGGAAUUCUACAUCAAUUGGGAAGAAUCUUCGCAUAGUCCUAAAUAAAUGUUAAAACACAAAAUUGUACUCAAAACAAUCUUAAAGACCGGUUAAAAUUUGAGUGAGUUGUACUCUUCUCCUUUACGUGAAUUUUCAUAUAACUUUCCAACUUAACAUUUUUAACGAGGCAAUUCGAACAAACUACAAAGCAAACAAACGUGGACUAUGUACCCUUUUCUCCAAAAAUUUCCCACUAGAUUUUUACAAAGUUUUUGGAACAUGAACAUCACACAAGCAUUAGGGCU
This 44565-nucleotide long non-coding RNA is filed under the name Zea mays. Its description in RNAcentral is "long non-coding RNA (ZMAY_LNC003397)". The record is from RNAcentral. Lineage: Eukaryota; Viridiplantae; Streptophyta; Magnoliopsida; Poales; Poaceae.